ACGCCAUCGUUGGCAGGCAGGCAGAAGUCCGACAGGGGGGUGUCGUUCUUCAGCUCCAGGCAGAUCUUGCCGCCAUUCGCCUGGUCCUUGCUCCAGUUCAGGGGGGUAGCCUUAACGGUCUGCUCGUCCACAGCGCCCCAGGUGGCGGACAGCCACUUGCCGGUGCCGGUCUUGGGCUGCACGUACACGCCGGUGAUGGCGCGGCGCUUCUUGUCGUCGGCGUAGAACUCGGCCUUGAGCAGGCUGGUGCUCCGGCCGCAGGGGCUGGUGGCGCUGUUGGGGGUCACCAGGGUGAUGCUGAAGCAGUAAGCAGUGGUGUCCUUGGUGCGGCCGGCCAUGCUCGACAUCGCGGGCGCAAUGGCGAAGGGGGUGGCGCCGGGAGUGGUGACGCACUGGCACUUGGGGAAGUCGGGGGUCUGCAGGGCGCAGGCGGCCGAGGCCUGGGCGUUGAUGCACGACUGGGGCAGGCCGGCGACGGCGUCGCCCAUGCCGCCAACAGAGACGACCACGGUGUAUCCGGCCAGGGCGGGGCGGCAGCCCUGAGUCACCAUGUCCAGCCAGAAGUUGAUCUGGGUGUCAACGAAGCUCUGCAGCUUGGCGCCCUCCUCGUUGGAGAAGAAGGUGGCGCACACCAUCACCAGGUUGCCGGCGCAGCUGGUGGACCCAGGGGUCACGGUCACGCCGAGGUCGGAGGCCUGGGUGGCCACGUCGUCCUGAAUGGUGGCGAUGUAGCCCUGGCACUCGUCGUUGCUGAUGGAGUAGGGGAACAGAACGCGGCUGGCGUCGCUAACGGUCAGCGAGAUGUAGACGCAAACCUGGCAAGGAGGAGGGGGGCUGGGGGGAGGAGGGCUCGGGAUGCCGGGCGUGGAGAUAGGGCAGCAGUCGUUCUGGCUGUCGAACAGCGCAGCCGAGCACACACCCUUGGGCAGGCCAGGGGGAGGAAUGCACAGCUCCUCAAGGGUGGUGCAGCCCUUGCCGUUCUUGUUCAUCGACAGGGUGAUGCAAAUCUCAGCACCGUCGCUGGCCAGGCCCAGGCCCAGCUGGGUCAGGACCAGGGUGGUCGAGCCAACGGGGCCAUCGGUGGGCUCGUGGAACGAGACACCGACCUUGGUGGGCACGCCGUUGAUGGUGGCCUUCACCACCUCGCCGAAGACGUCGCACGCCUCGUAGACGUUGAACUGUGUACAUCAAAAUGAGGAACAAACUCAGAGAACUUCUUGAAAAAAGAACUCACACUGUGGGUUGCUGGCUGCUGCGACUUUGAAACCGCGACCCGAUGCGCCGACAACCCACCUCGAUCUUCUUGAGGUCUGCCUUGGAGCAGCAGUAAUCGGUGCAGCCAGCCGGCACCUUGGCGCUCAGCUUGAAGCAGUACUGGUUGUUGCCCUUGGCAACGACAACAUCACCCAGCUUGUAGGCCGAGGGAGACUUCUUGCACUGGCAGUAAGGGAACGAGGUGUACAAGCCCGACUGAGCACCCUGGGCGGCCCUGCAGAUUCAGAACGAAGGGCACACGCGGCACGGAGUUACUGCCAGCGGAGCAAGCGGAGUCUCGGCGACGGGAUAGCCUGCUUGCAACUUGCUGUCAAAUCCGGUGGUGGCGCUACGAUCACUGUUACGCUAUGCUGAAAUCAUGAAAAUAGCCCGAGCAUGCUGUAAGAGCGCCGGUUGCAAGAAGGCCGACCGCAUUCAAGCUGCGCAGCGGACCCACACGACCACUAUUUACGCCGUGAGCGUAAAUGAUUAUCUUUGACUAGAGUCAGCGAUGCUCGUCUAUUCUACAACUCAGGAGCUUCCCGAAGCGACAAAUCUGUGAAACGCGCGGUCUUGCUACUCACGCAAUUGCGGCCGCGAAAAGAACGGAGACUAGAAUGCUGCACCUCAUUGUCACAGAGGUGGUUCAGCUAUAAAGAAAUUGUGAGGCACGCGGGCUUAUCAUGGGGGGCCCGGCUGGUCGAACGAGUCGUACGCCCGCCAUUAACCGCGGGCGCGUUAGUUUGGCGUGCGAUGCAAUCAUUCAUGCAACCGCGCCACUUCGACAGUGCCGGAAACAACUUUUAUUUUUGUGGGUAUGCAUCCGGCUAUUCGGUAGGACAGCAGCUGCGUUACGCUCAAACUCGGGCAAACAAUUGGGCUAGCGGCGUGAGCUUGCACCUCACAACUAUCAUCACACAAGUUAUUUAGAUACUGGCCUACCUUGGGCCAUCUCCAAAACUGCCUGUCCAGCCCGGGAGCGGCGGAGCUGUUUCGCCCGCGGUUUGGAGUGGCUUUACUCGUGCCGACGCAAGUCCUUGAUUUUUGCAUUAUAAAAAAAUUAUAGAGUACAGCUAUAGCAACCAACUUGGCAAUGGAGCUGCUGGCAUGGUCCAAACGCGGGAAGCUGGCGCCUUCUAGGCUCUUUGGAGCCCUGUCGGCUUCACAAGUGGCUGAUGCUCAAGUUGUGCAUCGCUUUGGCCGGACAAAUGUCUCCUAGUAACCCGGUUCACAAGCGAAGCGUGAAACGAAAGCAAAGGAUGCUGCGCGCCGGAAGCGAAACGUUCGAUGCACCUAAUUGGGCGCCAAGCGCGGAACCUUGCAGUCUCAGAUGCGUGUGUGCAUGGAAGGAGAAGGCUGGCGGAGGCGAGAGGAGCGGGGGCAGGGAUUGGCUUUCGUGGGGGGGGCGGGGCAAGUGGCGCGGGCGGGGCUGGGGGGGCGAAGAACGGUGAAGACCGGUGCGAUGGCACAGGGUAAGGGGCAGGUUGGCGUAGUCCCGAGUCCCGAGAAACAACUUACGCCCAACCCAGGCGCCAAUGAAACAGGUGAAGAGCUUGAGGACCCCCCUCCCGCUGUCCGGGCCUUACACACAAGCAGGCCAAGUGCGGGGGGAGCCGUAGCGCACACCAUAUACCGUACUGUCACUGUGCUCGAUUUCGUCGCUAGUGACGCCCCUGCUGGCUAGGGUAGCAAGGGUAAUGGGGGUGAACGAGCCGGUUGCUUAGGCUGUGCCAGCUUUCCCCGGGUUUCAUUGGGGUCACACACUUCACUGAUGCACAACUUUCAGAGCCAGGGGGCUGCAUCCUCCGGCAAGCAGACGCCAGGAGGGUGUCCCUGGCCGCAUGCGCUGGGUCCUGGAGUCUACGGUACGCGUUGCCGCACGCGUCGGUUGGCCAUCCAUUCCCCAUCCUUAGACACAAUGACUGUGUCAUGUGUGCACGUUGCGCUUUAGGCUCGGCCAGCGGCACCCUGGGUUGGGUGUGUGAUGGGUUGGGUCUCGGUUUGAGAGGUGUGACCCUUGCAGAAAGCAGGACUCUCCACACUCCCCUCCCGUGCUGUGCAUGUAUGUUCCUGCAUGCACGUGUGUGUAUGAAGUGAAUGGCUCAGCCAACGGCUGUGUGUGCAUGUGGCCCGCGUAAAAUGCAAUUUACCAGUGAUGGGCACUUCUAUCAGGGAGGGGUAGGAAACAAAGUGCCAGACCCCAUGCCCCGAAAUCCCCCGGGACCCCCCUUGAGGGGACGACCGACCCCCCGACGGACAAAACCUUGUUGUUCAGCGGUUAAAACCCCUCCAUUUAAUACCAAAGUAGUGUCAAUCGACUCCUCUUGACGAGCACUAUCACUCCGUGCCAUCAGCGGUCCUGUUCUGAGACUUCGGUCACGGGCGGGAUCCUAUCCAUGGAAAUCCCCUCGACCCAGACCACCCCGCGCUCAACUCUUUGCCGCGUGACGAAUGGACAAUGUGCAUCGGCAGCCUUGUUAGACGUGAACUCAUGCGCAUCAGCGCUUCAGAGCCCAGCUGUGUCAGUGCGCAUAUGUUGAAUGUGGAGACAUGUCCCGACAUGUCCACGUCCGGACGCGCAACUUAGCCCUCCCACGCUUUGUUUGUGCUUAUUACGUCAUAACGUACACAUAUGAGCCUCGCACUGCUGCGUUUGGCCCCUAGUUCUGCUUGUGGGGCGCUUCCCGAAAUCCGCCAGGAUGGGCUCCCGAAACCCGACGGACCCCCAGGGACGAGGACCGACCCCCAACUUUGGCGGCCCAGAACUUCCUCACCAGACCCCCCUUUAAAAAACUAAAAGUACGUGCAUAAUGCUCUCCUGAAGCUCUCUAAUAUUGAGCAUGGGGUAAGAACCUGAGCUUUCUAACCCCCCCCUGCCAUGGCGGCCACAAUGCCAAGAUGCUACCUGGCGGCGCCACGCACAGCAGAGCCCUGUGCUCCGCAAGGAUGCACACGUGCACACACGCACACACAUGUGCGAACACACGUGCACCUGCCCUCCAUGCCACUCGCCCCGCCCCUUCCCCCUUCCCUCACCUCAGUUAUGGCUGACUGGAUGCGGUUGAUCUCAAACAGCCGGCUGCGCCCCUCCUGGGAGCCGCCGCCGCCGCCGCCAGACAGGAGGUCUGGAGUGCGUGUGAGGAAGGGGAGGGGGGGGAUGUGCCCGAGCCCGAGGUCUCAAGCGUCAAGGAAUUGUUUCCAAACCAGGGGGAGGAAGCGGUAGGGGGGCGCGAAGUGUGAUGUUUGUCGGGGUAAGGUGUGAGGCAUUGGGCAUGGAGCGUAAGGCGGGCAUCAAGGCGGGUAGGGUGUCGGCCUGUGCGCUGUCACCCAAGCCACGGGCGCACCGUUAGCACGCACGCACGCGCACACGCUCACACUACGCACCUGCGGCCGCCUCCUGCCCCUUGCUGGUGGCGCCGCUCCCGCCGCCGCCCCCACCUGCACCCCCAGCAGCCGCCCCGCCCGGCACCGGAGCGCUCACCACCACCUGCGCCUCCGCCGCACCCUCCACCGCUGACUCUGCUCCUGCUCCCCCUCCUGCUGCGGAUGCUUCCGCUGGUAGCUGCACCACUGGCGUGUGCCGUGGAUGCGGUGGGUGCGGCGCCGCCAAGCCAGUCACCGCCGCCACCACCGGCGCCAGCGCCGCCGCCACGGCAGCCGCCGGCUCCCCUCCCGAAAUCCGCCAGACACCCCCUUAAAAAGUUAAAAGUACGUGCAUAAUGCUCUCCUAAAGCUCUGUAAUUUUGAGCAUGGGGUAAGAAACUGAGCUUUCUACCCCCCCCCUGCUUCUAUCAACCGGUUGUGCUUUCGGGGUUACAUGGAAGAGAUUAGGCUGGUGGGGCACAGUGGUGCACGGUGACAGAGACAGCCUUUCUUCCCUGUCUGGGUCAGGGGACAGGUUGUGCCGCCCUCGAGUCCGAAUCAAAUCGUUCUUUGCAGCAUCCCUCUUCAGGAUGCUGAGUGGAGUUGGUGUCGGUAGUAAAGGCCAAGCCCAACGCCCAUUGCGGCAGGGCCCAGGUGUGGGCGGAACGCCCGCCAAGAUGAGACACGAUGAGAGGCACGGCCGAUCGCGCCGAGUUAAGCCAUCACCACGCCCAGUGUUCCGGCCGGUUGUAACAGAUCAACUGUUACGAUCCCUGUUCGAGACAGGGCUGGGCCCUAACUUAUGCCUCUUACGAGUCUUCUAGUGAAUACGCGGUCACCCAAGUCUCAUCCGUUGGACAUCUCCAACCCCUUGCCAGGCUCUACAGUGAGUUAUGUCCGGGGUGGGCUAGGUACUGCUACCCCAGGGGAGAGCCUUCCCUGGCAGAGCCCAGGCCCUGCCGUAUUCCUUACCGGGUCGCACACCCACCGAAGUACCGAACCACGCGUCACGGUCUGGGAAUCAGCUGCACCCUACGGGACUUCACCAACCUGCCUUAACACUGUCCCAUACCACGCGUUACGUUUCUCCACGAUCCGCGGAACGGCGGAAACACGUAUUGACAUGUGUACACCCGCAAGGAGACCGCGGGUGGGUGAGAAUACUGCGCCUGCGCCUGAGAGCCCCGGGGCAAGCUGUCUCAUCCCCGAACGUAGAACUCAUAGAGUGCAGUCUGUGCAAAAGGGAAAGCGAGAUGCAAAGGACGAAGCAGGAGUCGUGUGACGCGUUAGCGUGGAUAAACGCCUGGCGGAUGAGAUCGGACAUGGCAACUUGGAAAUGGGCAGGUUGGUGUUAGUCCUGUGGACCUGAUAUACCCGAGCCGGUUGAGGGCCUCAUGUGCAAAACCGCCAGCGCCGGUCUGCUGGCCUUAUCUGGGUACACGCAGUACCGGUGCGGUAGCUGACGAUGCCAGCGUUAUUGACGAGUGUUGCGGAACUAAUGCGUACGUAGACCAGAGCGGAAGGCGGAGUGGGCUUGCAGGCGGCACGAGAGUAGGCAGUCAGUAGCGCAAGUUGCGAAUUCACAUGUUACCUCGUAACCGACGGUAAACGCUGCGGACGGUCGCGCCCAUGGCUGGCUGACGGAAGGUGGCUGCUGUAUUGGGAUGGCUGGGCUGGACGACGCCGGCCGGGCUGGCGUGCACGAUGUGCACAAACCGUUCCGCCUGCAGAUUGCAGAAAGCCCUGACGCCAGCUGCGCAUCCUGACGGAUGACACGUUGGGGGCUGUCACUCAGCUGCUGACUCGGGACCACCGUGCUGUCCCCUGCCGCAGUUACCGCCGCAGCCUGGCUGGCAUUCAACUUAUGUUGAAAAUUAUAUCAAUAUGACGCGUUCGUACUGUGCCCCCAAACCGGUUUACAGGGGCAACAGGCAAUAGCCCUGCGCACAAACUCCUGCUUCUCACCAGAGCUUUCGCCGUUAUGCACGGCCACGGGAACAAUGGUCCCGGCCAACCACAUCUAUGAACCGUGUCCGUUAGCCUCUCCUGAGGCUUGUAACCGGAACGCGGCUCCGCUGAUUGCAGUCCCAGGAUGACGCUAACCUAAGCAAACAGUCAAUGCGCAUGAUCAUUUACACACACGAGUGCUCUUAUGUACUGCCCAUAUUAAACACAGUCGAGUUGUGGAUCAGUUGCACGAUUCACCGCGCCAGCCCUCGCGGCGGUGCUUCACGCAAUCCGCAUUCAGCUGGUGGCGAGUCGCCAAGCCGCCCCCAACAAAACCCGCACCGCACCAAGUGCCAUGCCGUUUAGACACACGCGCACAACACUAAUCCUGCGAGGCAGUGAUCUCAUCUGUCACUUUGUCAACUACCCAAUCAAGCCAUUUUUCCGAACCCAAUUCAAAACACGCGCCCACGGGCGAAGCUGUGCGCCGUGGCUGUAGCGGCUGCUGCCUCUGCUGCCAACGCCUCACAAAAUCCACCCGUGGCCGUCUGCCACAUAAGCUCCAGCGGUCACCAGCUAUGCUCCGUGCCAGCUCGCGAUAUUGCCAGGCCGUGUGGCCGCAGCAGCUGUUUGCACAGCUGCCGCGAAGCAAGUCCGCUGCCACAAGAACUCAAACAGGGUGGGUCAGCCGCGCGGCUUCCAAGCGGCUUCCACCUUGUGUGUAUGGACACGCGACGCCUCGGCUGCUGCGGGCUGUGCCAUUUACGGCAGGCUCGCCUGGUACAGCGGGCAGCUGCGGGCAAGACACGGGAGGGGUGAGGAAUGGCGGUCAGAUACGUGACAACGUCGAGGCAGAUGUCCGCGGGGAAGUCCGUGGGCGAAGCCUAUUGAUUUAGAUCCCGCAAGACAACCCACAUUGGCAAGUACGUUGUUGCGAGCGUGUCAAUGCAAACCCAACUCACCAGUUCUUGCUGUCGUCGAACAAGUUGCCGUAGCACGAGCCGCCGGGCGCGGGCAGGCAGAAGUCCGACAGGGGGGUGUCGUUCUUCAGCUCCAGGCAGAUAGUACCGCCAUUCGCCUGGUCCUUGCUCCAGUUCAGGGGGGUAGCCUUGACGGUCUGCUCGUCCACAGCGCCCCAGGUGGCGGACAGCCACUUGCCGGUGCCGGUCUUGGGCUGCACGUACACGCCGGUGAUGGCGCGGCGCUUCUUGUCGUCGGCGUAGAACUCGGCCUUGAGCAGGCUGGUGCUCCGGCCGCAGGGGCUGGUGGCGCUGUUGGGGGUCACAAGGGUGAUGCUGAAGCAGUAAGAGGUGGUGUCCUUGGUGCGGCCGGCCAUAGUGGAAAUGACGGGCGUGAAGGCGAAGGGGGUGGCGCCGGGCGUGGUGACGCAAGCGCACUUGGGGAAGUCCACAGGCUCGGGGGCGCAGGCCUGGGACUGGAAGCCGCUCAGGCAAGACGCAUCCGGGGCCUGUGCGGAGCCGCCGAUGCCGCCGACGGCGGCGUAAGCGCUGUAGCCAGUCAGGAAGGCGGGGCAGCCCUGGACGCCGGUGAUCAGCUGCAGCCAGAAGGGCAGGCGCUCAUCGAUGAAGGGCUGCAGCUCGGCGCCCUGCUCCGAUGAGAAGAAGGUGGCGCACAGCUUGAUCACGUCGCCAGAGCAAACAGCCGGGGCGAAGUUGAUCGCGACGCCCAGGUUCUCGGCCUCGGUCUGGAGCUCGUCGCCGAUCAUAGCAGCGUAGUCGUCGCAGUCCUGCUGGGAGAACUCGUAAGGGAAGACAACGUUGCCGGUCUCAAGGAUGGAGAGGUACACGCAAGCCGUGCAGGGAGGAGGAGGAGACGGAGGAGGCGGGCUGGGGGGAGGAGGGCUCGGGAUGCCGGGCGUGGAGAUAGGGCAGCAGUCGUUCUGGCUGUCGAACAGCGCAGCCGAGCACACACCCUUGGGCAGGCCAGGGGGAGGAAUGCACAGCUCCUCAAGGGAGGUGCAGCCCUUGCCGUUCUUGUUCAGCGACAGGGUGAUGCAAAUCUCAGCACCGUCGCUGGCCAGGCCCAGGCCCAGCUGGGUCAGCACCAGAGUGGUGGAGCCGACGGGGCCAUCGAUGGGCUCGUGGAACGAGACACCAACCUUGGUGGGCACGCCGUUGAUGGUGGCCUUCACCACCUCGCCGAAGACGUCGCACGCCUCGUAGACGUUGAACUGUGGAGAAAGAAAACCAGAAGGGUGAGAAUGGUUUGGACAAGCACGCUAGCAGACGCCAGCAACUCUGCUAGCGACAAGCCGCGAGCGUCGGUUACUGUGAUGCUCUUCGACAUUCCCGCUCGACUUUCUGGCAUAGUCGCAACCACGUGCUUACCUCGAUCUUCUUCAGGUCCGCCUUGGUGCAGCAGUAGUCAGUGCAGCCAGCCGGCACCUUGGCGCUCAGCUUGAAGCAGUACUGGUUGUUGCCCUUGGCAACGACGACAUCACCCAGCUUGUAGGCCGAGGGAGACUUCUUGCACUGGCAGUAGGGGAACGAGGUGUACAAGCCCGACUGAGCACCCUGGGCGGCCCUGCAUUCCGAAGGCACAAGGGCAAAAGAUGUGUUGGUUCGCAUGUGUGCAUCGGCGUGCAGUCUUGAACCCAUGUGUGCAUGACGUCCUAGAGAAGAUGACACUGCCAUGUACUGAUCGAUUGCGCUCCAGGCUCCAUCAAAGGCCCGCCGGCCUAAGCUGGGGAAUGCUGGCGUGCUCCAGUGGCUGUCGAGCGUCCAGGAAAGGCUGAGCUGCCACCGUGAGCUGGGGAUGCUUUCACGUUAUGACCAACACAUCUGUCUGUGACAUACAUCAAGCUAGGGGCUGGAUCGCCUACGCCGCGACAAAAAUGGCGCGACUCCGAGAGAGCCAUCACAGACACUACUCACGCGAAUGCGGCAGCCACGAGAACGGCAACCAGCGAAUAGCUGGACCUCAUUGUUACAGAGGUCGUUCAGCUAAUUAUGGUGACCAUUUGCGCGCCGAGGGCUAUAAAUUCUGCUGGCCGAUUCCGUACGACGGCCCGCCCGCCGUCUGCCUCGACUUCGACUCGCCUCCUGGCACGCUCGACUGGCUUGCUGGCAUUGGUAACAGCCGAAUGCCGAUGCGAUUUAAUCACCAAGCCAAAAUCCACACGCAAUGUCAGCGGGCGGCGAGCGCCCACCAGGUUUUCGCGAUGAACAUGUUUUCGCGAGGCCAGUUUUACUAUAAUAUAAAACAAACUACAAGGUGUGAGCCAUCAAUAGCUUGAUCAAGGAAACACAGGAGUUGGUCGGCCGGAUUGCGGCCUGCCAUAAAUGGAAGGCAAUUUUAGGGUUGAGCCUUGUAACAAAACUGUUAGCAACAAACAGUUUCUACGCAUCUUAAGGGCCCUCUACAGGGCCCUUAAGAAUCGCGACAGCUUAUUCCUCUCAACGGUCGCUCGCUGCCUCUAGGGAUUCUGAGCCGGUCUCCUUUCUUAAAAGCAUUUGUAUCUAUACUGACUGUGGGUCUUCUAUAGACGACGGCCUGCUGUCCUGUACGCCAUUCAUAUGUUCUGGGUCUCUGCGGCCGGGAAGGGCCCGGGCAUACUCUCCUUAAUGGUCAAAGAUAAUGGGUAGACAACCGUCACCGUAAAACUCCAGCUUCGGGGCUGACUUCCGGCAAGGUAGUUAUUGGCGCGUCGAACAUCGUGCGGUCGACCUGACCGCGCUCGCUCGCCAGCCUGAAAAAGGACUACGUUUGUGGUGCUUAAUACAGCUUUCAUACGACAUGCUGUGCUGCCUCCAUCGCGUACUGCCAGCUGACAGUCUGAAGGGCAAACGACCAUGUUGUGGUUUUGGUGGCCGCGUGGCGCCCGUUCGCCUGCGCGCCCGCCCACCGCGCCCCCGGCCAAGCUUGAGUUUCUGUGGCAUCCUUGAACUGCAUGCCCCAACAGCUCACCUAAGUAGCUUCGGUUAGUCUGCAGGUGCCAAGACGCCUUCGCGGCACUUGGCGCAGCCGGGGCUGGCCGUGCCGUUGAACACCAGGGCCAGGGCUCCCCCUCCAGCUUCCCUGCGCCAGGGCUUUGGGGGCGCAUUUAAGUGGGCGGGUCCGCAAGUGGGUGGGUCUGCUGUGAAGCCCUUCAUGGGCUGAGUCCGCUUGUUGCCUUGCUCAACAAGGGCUGCCAGGUUUGGAGUGGCCGAGGGUAUGGGCCUUUGCAUGUAGUGUCACAAGGGUGUGACUACAGCACCCGAUGUGAAGAGUCUGACGCGGGAUUGGCCCGUCAGGCACGCCACGCACCGGCAGGCACGUGCGGGAGCUGGAGCUUCACAUGUUCAUUGUGGCAAUAUGCAGCUAGUUAUUUACAUAUUCUGCAAGGGGCACGUUCCGACUCCCAUGCUCCCAUAUGCAGUUGAGAAAUGCGUCUAACCUGACAGGCUCAGGUCUCAGCAUGACUGCGCGCAUGCUUUUACUGAAGUCCAAGCCACUGCUCCACACCACACGCAACGCCUCACGUUGAUGCCCUGUGCCGCGACAAAACUGAAGAGCUGCGCGCGCCAUCUAUCUCCCGCCGGGUUCACCCAUGCCAUCGGUGAGUGAUUAUCGCACUGCAGUGUAACAAGCGAUCCGCCAAAACCCCACUCCAUGAGUCAAGUUGGGCCCUGAUAGCAUGUGAUGGCUCGGCGUCUUCGGGUGCUGGGACUGUCCCCUCUGUAACAUCCGCAUUCAUGAGUCUGAUUCCGCUCAUUCAAUGCGAAUCUGACACAGUCCACACGCCAACAAAACCUUCUUCAUCAGAACUGCCCCCUAAAGCCUCAUGGUGCAAGAUGUGUGGUCCCCCCCGCAUGGGAAAAGUGGGCUGAGCCCACGCGACGUCUCUAGUCUGAGGCCGCAAGCGUCUACCUCACCUCCCUGACAUAGCCGGGGUCGGUUCGUACAGGCACGGCCCGCCAUGUGUCCAGCCACGUCCCGCUGCCAAGCAACAGCACAGCCAGCAAUCAACCAAACAGCAGGAAACCCUCUAACAUUCCUCACUGCCCCGGCCUACCACAUACUGCCCAGCCAUCCCAAUACAGCCGCCACCUUCUGUCAGCCAGCCAUGGGCGCGACCGUCCACAGCGUUUACCGUCGGUUACGAGGUAACAUGUGAAUUCGCAACUUGCGCUACUGACUGCCUACUCUCGUGCCGCCUGCAAGCCCACUCCGCCUUCCGCUCUGGUCCACGUACGCAUUAGUUCCGCAACACACGUCAAAUACUGUGCGGUGCUAUGCUCGCCAGCAAAGACCCUAACCAGACACCGGCCGACCUCAACCUGCGCGCCGGCGCCGGUGCCGCUUGUUGGGCGCCUCAAGGUGAAAACAACAACCCAAAGCGCAACUUACCGCGUAUACGCAUAGGAUGAAUAAGACCCGUAAGUUCAGAUCUCCACCUCAAACCUCACCAGCCCAGAGUUUGCUUGGCAUGCAUGAAGCAUUUCGACGCCCUUCCGACCGCUCCAGUACCCACAAAUCAAGUUGAAUGGGGUUUCUCCAGAGCAGCUGAGGCUGGCUAUGGGCAUGGGUUGACCAGCAGCCAGGUACAGAUAGAGAUCUUUUGCCUCAGCAGUUUGUACGACCAGACUGCAUGACGCCUGAUGACAAAGUCGUAUGCACGAAACCAAACUAACUGCGAACUGCGAUCCAAGUUGUAGGUAUCCGGAGUACCGUACCUGACCCGGAUACCACACUGUUCAUAUCGCGCAGGGGCCGAAGGGGUUGCGGAGCCAACCGCCACCGGUGCCAUGUGUGAUCCAGUCAUAACGCAUUUUAGUAGACUUGAAUAAAGCUUGUUGGCCUGUUUACCAUUAAUAUGGCAUGGUUCGGCCUUACGGAAAAUGCACAGCAAUGCUGAACACGCUGGGGUGGCAACCGUGGCGCAUGUACUGCGCAACAGCCCUAGCCUGCCCCCAGUAGCACUCGCAUGCCUGCGCCCGAACUCUUGCAUCGCACACCACACUCAACCGUGUAUUGUUGCAGCAACUCAAGUCCUCGUCACGCCCCACUUGGCCCUCAUUCGGGUCAGCAGUGAUGCAUACAAGUACAUGGUAGCGCUGUCGCUGCAACCUCCAGCGCUCGCAGCUUCCGGCGGCGGCACACGCUCCCGGCGGCGGUGGGAGUACGAAGGAGGGCACGGGCCCACGCCAGCCUUGCCGCCGGCAUGACUGGCCACUCCGCCAUGUCUGUCUGCGGCGCUACCCGCAGCUGCCCCUCAACCCUUACACAGGCGCCGUCGCUGCCACCGGCUCCGCAGCAAUAGCUCAAGGGGCAGACGCCGCUGCCGCCGCUGCCGCCGUGUCACCAGCCUCAGCGCCGCUGGCGGCGGCAGCCGCCCUCCCUGCCGGCGAUGCAUCUGUAGCACCCGCGCCACCGCCGCCGUAGCUACCGCCCGUGGCGGCGGCGGAGCCGGCAGAAGCGGUUGACGCCGGAUACAGCAACGGCAGCGUCACGCUCUCCGACGGUGCCAACACGGGCAGGACGCCGCCACCGCCGCCGCCGCCGCCGCCGGUGCCCACGAGCGAGAGGUGUGACGACGAUGCAAUCCCCAGACCCAGUGACGGCAUGAGGCCGGCGAAGCUGGGGGCCUGCGAUGAGAAGGACAGCAGCCCACCCACGCCCAGGCCCGUGCCGGCGCCGCUGACCUCGCCGCCCGCCGCCGCGGCGGCAGCGGCGGCGGCCGCAACCGCGGUGGCGGCGGCCGCCGAGACGCUGGUCGCCGUCGCUGCAACCGACACGCCCAUGGCCUCAGCUGCGCUGGCGAACGCUGGCAGGGCCCGCGGCCUUGCUGCGAAGGCGGAGGUGCUGCCGACGCCUGCGGCGCCUGUAGCGCCGGUAGCUGCUGCGGCUGCAUCGCCACCGUUGCCUCCGGUGCUGGCGUCAGAGGCAGGCGGCGCAGCCGGCGGCGGCGCGUGUGACGGGGCUGCAGGCGUUGGCGAAGCGGGAGCACCAGAAGGCGCGGCGGCCGCGGCGCGGCCGAGGGCGCGCAAAGGCGUUGGUGUGCCGCCGCCGAUGGCAGCGUACGGCAGUUGGUUGCUGCCUGUGCGGAUGGGCGGUGCUGGCGGCGACGGCGGAGCUCCCAUUGCCGCCGCGAGUCCUAGGUCCGGUGCGCUGUUGAGCGCCGCCGCCGCCGCCGGCGGCAGCAGCCCGUUAUGUGUGACCCCUGCCGCUGCCCCCGCUACCGCCGCCGAGCCCGCUUCCGACACCGUGUUCAGUCCUGCAGCCGCCGCCGCCGCCACCGCCUCUGCCGCCGCCUCUGCUGCCGCCCCCAUCUGUCUGAGCGCGCGGGGUGAUAGCGGUGAGCCCAGCAAUGACGGCGCUGGCGCCGCCGCUGCCGCUACCGUCGAUGCCUCAGCAGAUGCCAGCAUCACGCGCGAGCUGCUACUGCUUCCAGCACCGCCGCCGCCGUCGCCACCAACACUGCUGGCUGCUGCAACGUUCCUGCUACUGCCACUGCCCCCCGGAAACAAGCCGUGCGGCAGCGUCCCCGGCGGCACGGGGCUUCCCGGCGGCCCCGAGCCCGAGGCGACUGCCGCCGCGCCCUUGGCACUGCUGGCGCCGCUGCCGCCGCCGCCAGGGCUGACGCCGCCGCCGCCGCCGCCGCGCGGGCGGCUGGUAAUUCGUUUCAGCACUGGACCGCCGCCGCCAAGCAGCCCGCCCAACGCCCCCCCCAGUAGUACUGGCGGCGCCAUGCCAUCCUCAUCAUCCGAAUCGUCCAGGACCACAGCCGCCGGCGGCACCGCCAGUGACAGCGGCGGCGGCGGCUCCGCGCCGCCGCCACUGACCGCUCGCGCCAUGGCUAGACGCGACGCGCUGCUGCUGCCGCCUGGCUCGUGAACUGCGUCAGCAGGUCCCUCUUGUAACCAAUGCAAUCUGCCGCCGCCGCCGGCGCUCGUGCCAAUGCCGCCGGAACGCGCGGCGGCGGCGGUACUACGGCCGCUGCCGCUGCCGACGCUGCCUCGCGCGACGCGAACCGCUGCGUCCGUUGCCGCGCCUGCCUCCGCCGACUGCGCCACCCCCGCGGCGGCCGCCAGGCCGCCGCCGCCGCCGCCGCCCUCCGGCUGCGCCGGCGCAGCCGCCGGCUGCCGCGCCGCGGCGGCGGCGGCCUGCGCCAGCAGCGCCUGCUGCUGCUGCUGCUGCUGCUGCUUCCGGGCCUUCUUUGCCGCCAACAGGUCAUUCAGCAGCCGCGUCAGCACGUCCAGAGCGUCCAGGAAGCGCGGCCGGGCAGCGGGUGAGGCGGACAGGCAGGCGGUGGCGAGGUCGCGGUAGGCGGGCGGGCAGGCGGAGGGCUCGGCGGGCCAGGUGUAGAACUCGGCGGGCAGGUUGGGGAUGCGGCGGCGCAGCGGCAGGCGGCGGGCCACUGUGGAGCCGUGGAGCAGCUCCCACAGGAUCACGCCGAAAGAGUAGCUGCCGGGGGGAAAGGGGGGAGGAGCGGGAGGGAGGCUGGGGUUAGCCAUUCAUCCAAUCCCAACGGGGCACCAGUCCAAUGAAUCGCAGCCCGCUGUCGGCUUGGGCGUACAGCGUGUACUCCGCCCCUUCCCCCUGCCCCUUCCCCUGGCCGCUCUGUGCCCCAUCCCGUCCCCCUGCCGCUCCCUGCCCCCUGCCCCUUCCCCCUGCCCCUCCCCCUGCCGCUCCCUGCCUCCCGAGCACGCCCCCCUCCCCCUCCAGCCCCACCCACAGGUCUGAGGCGGUGGUGGCUCGGCCGUCCUCCACCAGCUCCGCGGCGAUGUAGAAGGGCGUGCCGCGGCUGCGGGGUGAGGCAGCGGUGCGGGGGGAGGGGGCUACAUUCAUGACUAAUUCAACAUGACAAGGGGUGUAAUUGGGUGUGCGGGUGAAGGCCGGAGUCCCCAACUGACACGUGUGAAGUAUGGGGGGGCGGGGUUGGGUGUGCGGGCGGCAUGUGGGGCCGGGCUCACGGGCUGGUGUGAGUGGCGUGUUGCAGGACUGGCGCGAGCGGCGGGAUCAGCAGCAGCAAAGGCAGGAAGGCGGACACGUCACACGCGCGCGCUGACCUCACUCGGGCCCCCAUGACCUCCGCCCCGCAACACCGCAAUCACUCCGUCUCGCAUGUUCGGCUACCCUUCCUCCGGCUGCCUCCUCCGUCUUGCGUGCACGGCUACCCCCGCCCACACCCCGCCCCCCACUCUCACCAACCUGUUCCUACUGCCCCAACCUCGCAGCCCCCCUCCCAUCACCCCCAUGGCCCCCGCCCCCCCCCCCAUCUCACCACUCCGGUCUCCACAUGAACGUCCCCCCUACUUGGUAACGACUUCGUCUGCAGCCUUCCGUGCCGCUCCUGUACCGCUUCUCCAAACAUCCUUGCAAUCCCCCCCCCGCCCUCACCGGAUGUUGCUGAUGUGGCUCUCUCCCGCCUUGAGUUUCAGCGCCAGUCCAAAGUCCGCAAUCUUGGCUGUGAAGCCGUACCCACUGGCGGCGUUGGAGCGAAGCAGGAUGUUGGCGGGCUUCUACGGAGGGCGGGAGGGGGCGGCGGAGGGGAGCUGUUGAUGUAAGGAACGUGAUGAUAAGAUAAUUAAUAGGUCACAAGUCAUGGUCACAAGUUUCAAAGUGCCCACGUCUAGUGGGAACAGGGGAUGGGGGAGCCGUUCAUGUGAAGGACGGAGUGGUUAGGUCACAAGUGUGAAGUGCCGACGUCCAGAGGGAACAAGGGGGGAAGGGAGGGAGGGUUGGAUGAUGGGAGUUGGUGGGAUGCUGUGGAGGGUGGGGUGAAAGCGAAGCAGGAGGAGGCAGCAGGGGUAGUGGGCGGAGCGGGACGCAGCUGCGUGGCGCGGUACGGAGCGGGAAUGGCACGGGCUGGGGGACAGAGAGGGAAGGAGGCGGAGGCGGGGGCGCGGAAGGGCGGGUUCCCAAGGGGCUGGCUGGGUGUUGGUUUCGUUUGGGGUUUACCUCAUCACACACACACAUGCACUCGCGCGCGCUCCGCACCAGGUCUCCGUGUAUGAUGCUGCGGGCGUGUAUGUAGCUCAUGCCGCUGGCCACCUCGAUGCCGAUGCGCAGCGCCGUCUCCAGGUCCGCCAGCCCGCUACUGCCGCCGCCGCCGCCGCCGCCGUCAGUGUGGGUCGCUGCGAAGCGGCCGCCGUCCAGCGCGUCCUUAAGCGUGCCGCCGUCGCAGUACUCCUGAGGGCGGGCGGAGGGGAGCGGACCGGUGGGUUACAUUCAUAAUUAGGUAAGGAAAUGGUAUAAGNNNNNNNNNNNNNNNNNNNNNNNNNNNNNNNNNNNNNNNNNNNNNNNNNNNNNNNNNNNNNNNNNNNNNNNNNNNNNNNNNNNNNNNNNNNNNNNNNNNNUGGAAAGUACAACACCCCUCCCCCCCUUACAACAUUUCUCCCCCCCUACAACACCCCUCCCCCCUUACAACACCCCUCCCCCCCGCACCUGCUCCUUGAAAGAGUUGCCUCCGCCUCCGCCGCCACCUCCGCCCCUCUCGCCUCCCUCGCCUCCCUCCCCGGCGCCGCCGCCGCCGCUGCCGCCCACAAAGGCCUGGAACAGCAGCGUCUUCACCGCCACCUCCAGCCCGCGCCACUCGCCUGCGAGACACACACACGCAUGCACACAUGGACAUGGUCACGUUCGUGCACAGUGCCAACCCUUCCCAACACACUCAGUCACAACACACGCCACGCAGGAGCCCAAGCCGCUUUGGAAGCAGCCCUCUACCCCCGCAACAGGUUGCUGUCUGUCCCUGCCCCCCUUGCUGCCCCCACCCCCCCAUCGGCCCUCGGCCCGGACGUCAGCCCUGCAAACCAUCACAUCCCAUCCUUCAGCCCCCCCUCCCUCCUUUCCCUACCCAUCCAUCCCCAUCGCUUCCUCUCCCCUGGCUGGUAUCUCGUCCUCGCUCCUUUGCAUUGCGUUCGGUUCAGUUUGAGCUGGUAUCUACAACCCCCCCUCUCCAGCCCCUCUCCAGCCCCCCACCCACCCUUGUAGACCACCCCGUGCGCGCCCGCUCCCAGCUGGCACGUGAUGCUGAUCUGCUGCUGCUGCGCCCCCAGCUCCGACUGAAACGCCGCAAGCGCCGCAUACAGCUCCGUGCGUGGAUUGCUGCUCGCAGCCGCAUCGCUGCCGCCGCCGCCGCCGCCGCCGCCAGUGCCGCCGGUGCCGCCAGUGCCAGUGCCCGCGCUGCGGCCGCUCAGGCUGCUGCCGGCGACGCUGCCGGGCUUUCCGGCGCCGCCGCUGCCGCCGCUGGCAACGCUGGUUCCAGAGACGCGCGGCUUGCGGCCAGUGGCGGCGGCGCCGCCGCCGCCACCGCCCUGUGGCGGGCGCUGCGCGCCGCCCGGUCCGGCGCCGCCGCUGAUGCCGCCGCUGCCACUGGCACUACCGGGUCCAGGCGAGCUCGCAGUGAGCGGAUUGCUGCCAGAGGCUACAGAGCCCGCGCCCACCUCGCUCCCCGGGGUCCGCCGCGUCCCCGCCGCCGCCGCCGCCGCCGCCGUCACGUCGCCAGCAGCGCCCGGCGGCGAUUGCAGCGCGCGCCGCCCCGACCGGGAUCUCUGCCGUUCACGUGACGUCGCCACCGCCGCCGCCGCCGCUAGCGUGACGCCCACGCCCGCCGCCACCGCGCCGGCGCCAUUGCCACUGCCGCCGUCGCCGCCGCCGCCACUCUCCAAGUCGAGGUGCGGCUCUAUUUCCGGGAAGGCACGUGACGCCGCGCUAGAUGGCAGGCCGCUGCCGCCGCCGGCGGGGCUGGCGGCGCCGCCGGUACGGUGGUUGUACGGCCCGUGCUCGGAUCCAACCACCGACCGUGGCGGUGACGUGGCUCCGGAUCCAGGUGUGGCGGCGCCGCCGGCUGACGCAGCCGCCGCUGCGGCGGCGGCGCGUUCCCGGUGCGAGCGCAGCAGUGGCGUUGGCGUCUGCGGGGGAGCGCCGGACGAUUGCGUUGUGUCAACAGGCAUCACCAUACCCGCCCUGCAUGCUGAACACACACACACACACACACACACACACACACACACGCGCACACACACACACCUAUACACACACACACACACACACACACACACACACACAUCAAAACACACGCAUACCCACGUGCUCGCCGCUGGUGCCGCCGCCGCACCUCCCGCGGCUGCUGCGCCCGCUGCCGCCGCCGCUGCGCCGCCCAGUGCCGCCCUUGUCACUGCCCACAAAGCUCCCGCCACCGCCGCCGCCGCCGCCCGCCGCCCGCUCCUGCGCCCGCCGCCGGGCGCGGCGGCGGUGCAGGAACACUAUGCCCGCCGCCACCGCCGCCGCCAGGGCAAUGAGGCCGGCGGCGGCGCCUACGGCGGGGCCAAUCACCGCCCCGAUGUCGGUUGAGGCGGGUGCCGCCGGCACAACCACCACAACCGCCGCGGGCUGGGCGGGCGGCGGCGGCGGCGCUGCGCCGCCGGCGAGGCCGCCGGCUCCUGCUGCGGUACGGCGAUGGUACGGUGGGUACGGUUAGACGAUUGGUACCGCAGGAGAUGUACCGUAACCUAGAGGCAUGUGUCCAGGAACUGAACACUGCCUGACGGUGUUGCACGGCCUUCGUACAGCUUCGUGAGGUCGAAUGCCGAACGGCCGACUGCACCACCGUACAACGACUCUGCAGCGUGUCCGCAGUUGGCUACUCAGGCACCCCACCAGUCGACCCAGGCACCCACCCGGUGGCGGGACAGCUUGUCCGAAGAUGGCUACCCAGGCAUCCCCCCCCUCGCUCAGUAGCCCCUCGCUCAAUAGCCCCUCGCUCAAUAGCCCCUCGCUCAAUAGCCCCUCGCUCAGUAGCCCCUCGCUCAGUAGCCCCUCGCUCUAUUGCAUUGGGUUCGGUUUAGUUUGGGCUGGUAUCUACACACACAUACACACACACACACGCACACACACACACACACACCAGCCGACCCAGGUACCCACCCGGCGGUGGCACAGCGGCCGUGGGUCCCCCUCCGCCACCGCCGCCGCCGCCUGGCCCCCCGGGCAGCGGCAGCAGCGGCGCGUUGGAGCCGGGCACGGAGGCGGCGGCGGGCGGCAGCGGGCUGGCACGUGGCGGGUCGGGCGGCGGCGGCGGCGGCGGAGGCCGCGGCGGCGGGGGCGGUUCUGUGGUGGACGGGUGGUGGGAGUGGGAGUGUGGAUGCAGGGGGCCCAAGGGGGACAGCUCGGCAGCGCGUGGGCACAUCCCACACACCGGAAUGCCUGAANNNNNNNNNNNNNNNNNNNNNNNNNNNNNNNNNNNNNNNNNNNNNNNNNNNNNNNNNNNNNNNNNNNNNNNNNNNNNNNNNNNNNNNNNNNNNNNNNNNNNNNNNNNNNNNNNNNNNNNNNNNNNNNNNNNNNNNNNNNNNNNNNNNNNNNNNNNNNNNNNNNNNNNNNNNNNNNNNNNNNNNNNNNNNNNNNNNNNNNNNNNNNNNNNNNNNNNNNNNNNNNNNNNNNNNNNNNNNNNNNNNNNNNNNNNNNNNNNNNNNNNNNNNNNNNNNNNNNNNNNNNNNNNNNNNNNNNNNNNNNNNNNNNNNNNNNNNNNNNNNNNNNNNNNNNNNNNNNNNNNNNNNNNNNNNNNNNNNNNNNNNNNNNNNNNNNNNNNNNNNNNNNNNNNNNNNNNNNNNNNNNNNNNNNNNNNNNNNNNNNNNNNNNNNNNNNNNNNNNNNNNNNNNNNNNNNNNNNNNNNNNNNNNNNNNNNNNNNNNNNNNNNNNNNNNNNNNNNNNNNNNNNNNNNNNNNNNNNNNNNNNNNNNNNNNNNNNNNNNNNNNNNNNNNNNNNNNNNNNNNNNNNNNNNNNNNNNNNNNNNNNNNNNNNNNNNNNNNNNNNNNNNNNNNNNNNNNNNNNNNNNNNNNNNNNNNNNNNNNNNNNNNNNNNNNNNNNNNNNNNNNNNNNNNNNNNNNNNNNNNNNNNNNNNNNNNNNNNNNNNNNNNNNNNNNNNNNNNNNNNNNNNNNNNNNNNNNNNNNNNNNNNNNNNNNNNNNNNNNNNNNNNNNNNNNNNNNNNNNNNNNNNNNNNNNNNNNNNNNNNNNNNNNNNNNNNNNNNNNNNNCACCCGCACACGCCGCCCACCUGCAGCGCCGCCGGCUGCGCGCCCGGCCGGCCUAGCCCCAGGUUCAUGAGUGACAGGAAGCGCAGCCGCAACACCGAGUAGGGCGGCACAGCCACCGCGCCUGUGUGUGAUUUAAAGAGCACAAAGAAAACAUUACGCGUAGGACUGUGUGUGCGUGUUGGGAGGGGGAUUCCAGGCACGAUUAGUCAGGAGAAGACGGCAAAGAAGGGUUAAAUGCAGGCGCCAGCACACAUAGGUUGGAUGAGGACAAACCGCAUGGAGGGGGAGUAGCCGUUCAUGGGGAACAGAGUGAUUGAACCAGUCAGCCCCCCAUCCCCGUGCCUGGUUAUCCCCAAUUUUGGGUUGGCAACGACUCCUUGGUUAUUGGGACCUAAUCCGUUGGGCUCGGGCACAUCAUUCCCCCCUUUUCUGCAUUGAGUUCGGUUUAGUUUGGGCUGAUAUCUACAAACGCCCCUGCCUGCCUGCCUGCUCACCGCUGAUGGCCUGCAGGCUGAGCGCCCGCACGGCUGUGGUCUGGCCGUCGCCCCAGAUGGUCAGGUUGGAACUGAGGGCCAGGCCGGCGGAGGGGGCGUACAGCUGGGCCUGAGGGGCAGAGGGGGGGAUUUCAAGGUUACAACAUUAGGGGGGCUACAUUCAUGAUUAGUUAAGGAAGUGGUAGACGGUAGAGCAUCUUGGGGAACAUCAAGGGGGGCCGGGGGUUCCAUGCAUGUCAAGUCAAGACGAGAUGAUGUUGGCAGGUUGUUUCAGAGGUGGGCGGGCGGGUUGGCGAUGCGCCGUUGGGGUGAAUCGGAGGUUGAAUCGGGAAGGUUGGGUUGGGAACGUCGAGCAGACCACCUCCGCCACACGCCCACGCCCACGCCCACAUGCCCCAUUCACACAUGCCGCCCGCCUCCUCAACCCCCCUGCCUGCCUGUGCUCCGCUCGUUCUCGUUGGUUUUGGGUUAGUUUGGGCUGGUAUUUACAACCCCCCCUUAAUUAAUCAUGAAUGUAACCCCCCCCCCCCCCACACACACACACACACACACACCUCCCUCCCCUCUGGCGCUGGACCUGUGGACGCAGUCGGUCAUCGGUACGCGCACCCCUGCGCCCGCUGUCUACUCCGCUACAUUUGCCUGUACCAAUCUUUACAAUCCCCACCCCCCAACCCCUUGACAGUCCCCACUCCUCACCCACACCCCCACCUGCAGUGUGUUGUCCCCCCGCAGCACCACCACGGAGGCGGCGGUGAAGGCGGUGGGGUCGAGCAGCAGGCUGGAGGCGCGGACCGAGGACAGCGGCACAGGGCCCACCUGCGGGGGGAGGAGAGAAAAGGGGAAGGAGGCGGGCGUGGAGGGCUACCGUGAUCCAAAACCCAACCCCGAUCCCCGGUGCCCCCACGCACCUCCCCAAUACCCUCCUCCCCAGCACCUGUCCCCCCCCCCAGCUCCUCCCCAAUACCCUCCUCCCCAGUAUCCUCCUCCCCAUUACCCUCCUCCCCCCCGCCCCCACCCCCGCCCCCACCCCCAAUCUCACCCCCAAUCCCACCCCCACCGCACCGUGCCGUACGGCGCCAGUGUGUCGAGCAGGUCCUGGCGAGAGGCGGCGGCGGUCAGGGGGGCCAGCGCCGCCAGCGGCGUGGCGGUUAUGCGGCAGUUGGUCCACGUCAUGCUGCCGUACAUCCACUCCCAGUACGGCACCUGCAGCGGCGGGCGGCGGCGGCGGCGGCGCAUGCGAAAAAAACAGUUGGGCGUUCAUGCCUGACUGCGCCUUCCCCUCCUGCACCCGGCACAGCGGACACGACAUCCUCCAACCCUCAAAACACACAGGCACAUACACACACACGCACACGCGUCUCCCCCACCUGGAUGCUGCCGUCCCCCGCCAGCGCCAGCCCAGGGCUGUACGACCGGAUGAGGCUGUCGACGCCCUCCAUACCGCCCGCCAGCGCGGCGCCAACCGCCGCCCGCCACCAGGCCAGCUCGCUAACCGACACAACAAACGUCACGUCGGUUGCCGUCAUGCGCAGCGGAGACUCCAGAGAUGCCAGCGGUUGCCUGGUUGGGACGAUAACGGUACGUUUGCGGGUGAGCGCACGCCGAAAACGCAAACGCUUACCACUCAAGUCCACUCCACCCACCCCACCCCGUCCACCUCCUACAAAGCCCACAAUCCAAACCCUGCAAACCCCUCCCCCUCAUUCCAUACUACGGUACCUCCGUUUAUCCACUCCUCCUUGGCUGCCCACCCCCACAGCCACCCCACCCCAUCCCCGCAACCCCACCCCUACCCACCCCACCCGCACACACAACCCCACCCCACCCCACCCCACCCCACCCCACCCGCACACACAACCCCAACCCACCCCACCCCGCACCCCCACCCCACCCCACCCCGCACCCCGACCCCAUCCCCGCACCCCCACCCCACCCCGCAUCCCGCACGCCCAGCCCACCUCUUGAAGUCCAGCAGCCACAGUGCCGCCGUCACCAGCGCCGCCGGGUACUGCGCCGCCGGCCCCAGCGCCAGGCCCGCCACCGUCAGCCGCCGCAGCUCCAGUCGGUUGGCGUCGCCGUCGCCCGCCACCUGAUGGCCGGGAGGGGAGAGGGAGGGGGGAGGGGGAUGUCCGGAAGGGGAGAGGGAAGGGGUGACACUCAUGCUUGUUUAUGAAGUGACGGCGUAGCCAGGGGGGAGGGGGGAUGUUCGGAAGUCUCGGGGGGAGAGGGAGGGGAGGCAUCCCAAACCCAACCAACCCAAGGGGGGUUCCAGUCACACCAGUCCGAAGGGCCGACGGGGCCGGGGUUACGGCGAUCAGGGGAGCCGCAGGAGUGGUGGCACGGUACGACAGUACAGCACGGCACGGUGUGUUUGGACGCGGUGCGGUAGGGUUCGAUGAUGUUCAGCAAUGUAGUGCACAAAGCAGGCAUCCCGUACACACACACACACACACACACACACACGCGCGCGCGCGCCGUACACAGAUACACACACGCGCGCGCUCCCCUCUCUCACCACCAUGAUUCCCGCCAGCUGCCGCAGGUCCACCUGCACCGCCGCGUCGGGCGGGCCUGCGCGGGGGGGGGUACAUUCAUGAUUAGUAUAGGAAGUGAAGUCGUAGGCAGGUGCAGUCGCAUAGUAGACGGGCGGGGGGAAGAGGAGGGACAGGCGGGACAGGCGGGGCAACCGGACCGGACAGGCGGUCAGGGUGAAGUGCGGAGGAGCUUGAAACAACACCGAUACCGUCUGUGACACACCCGUGCAGUCGGGCACGGACGUAUGAUGGCACAAACCCAGCAGUUCCGCCUGUGUGGCGCCGCGCGUUCCCCCCUCCUCCCCCUCCUCCUCCCCCUCCUCCUCCCCCUCCUCCUCCCCCUCCUCCUCCCCCUCCUCCCCCUCCACCCUCCUCCUCCACCCCUCCCCCUCGCCCCCCUCCUUCCCCCACUCCUCCAACCCCCUCACCCGCUAUGACGGUGCGGUUCACGGCCGACAACGUGCCGGCUCGCAUAUAGCUGGUGUCGGCACUGAUGUUGGCGCCCACCAUCGCAUACAGCGACCCAAGGGACAGCAGCGGGUUGAUGCGCGCCAGGGAGCGGGCCAGCUGCUCGCCGCUGCCCACGUAGGAGGCCACGCAGGGCAGGUACAUGGGCUGCAGGGCGGCUGCGGGCGGGGAGGGGAAGGGGAGGGGAGGGGGGGAGGAGGGGGAGGGGGGAAUGGGAGGGGGAAGGCAGGGGGGUUUAGGGAAGGGGGGCAGAACGCCAGGCGGAGGGGAGAGGGGGCGGAAAGACGGCGGGCCUGCACGGUGGGCACGGCAGGGUGAAGGCACCAGAGGUGGGGGUUCUGCAAGAACGACUCCCAAACCCCAACCUCCAACCCCUCACCUGCGUUCGACAGUGGGUCCGUGGCCGCGGUGAAGAUGGCGGGGGCGGUGCUGUUGGUAGCCUCAGGGCCGCAGCGUAGUGACACGUUGUAAACCGACAGCGACACGCCCCCACCGCCUCCCCCCGCUACCCCCGCCGCCGCCGGCACAACCAGCCGCCGCACGCGCACGCUCCACGUGAACACCUGUUGUGUUGCGCCGUGCAGGGGGUGUAGAGUGGCGUCGGAGUCAGGCCAGGUUGGGGCCUUCUAGUGAGGGACGGAUAGUCGCGGUUGCCUUGAUUGUAUUCCAUGAAUUCACAGUGUUAGCAGCAGAUGCAAGCGGUGCCUGGUAUGCGCCGUGUGCGGUGUGAUGCGUGGGUGCCAAACCCUGUCUCGGAGUCAGCGUGCUUCACCCCACCCCAUCCCACCCCAGCCCCGGCCUUUCCCGGCCUCCGCGUCCUUUCCCGGCCCUCUCCUCCCGCCAGCAGCUUGCCUCGUAGCUGAAGUCUGGCAUUUGGUCGCACACGUAGUCGCGCAGUGCGCUGACAACGCUGCAGUUCACGUUGAUGGCGAUGUUCCGCAGCACCAUCUGGGAGGGCGGGGCGACGUCGAACAUGGGCAGCUGCAGGAACGACGCCGGGUUGGAAAGGUCCAACGAUGUGUCGUUCGCCAGCACCAGUCCCAUGUUUGCGAGCUCGAGCAAUGUACCUGACGGCAAAGUGCCACAGCAACAAUUCAGAAACCAUCGUUAUACGGUCGCCUUUGCGAGCCGAUGACCCCUCGUGUGCAAUUUCGCGAUAUCGCUGCACGAAGUUCAUACUGUAGCUGUUUAACCGUGUCGAAAGCAAAAUGCGACGGAACAAAGUCAACUUGCUUGCAACGAGCAACUCACCGUUCUGCAAGCGAAUCGUGCCGUUUAUCGACGGGAGUGACAACCAAACGCCACGGCUGCCGUUGAUUGUCAACGUGCGACCAUCGACGAUGACGGGCGUGGUGUCCACCGCCAAGCUGCGAUUCAGCGACACCACGCCCUGCACCUCCGAUGAUAGCAAAGACUCAAACGACUGAGUCUGGCUGCUCGCAAGCUGCAAUACGAGCACAAGGGCAAGCAGCGCCCAAACAAAAGCCGCUCCCCUGCUGCACCGUGGCUUCAUAUCCACCUGCUCAGCUACACUACGUCACUAUGCCAAAGCCUAACAUAGUCAUAGUCGCCAACCCCAUGGUGGGAUGGGCGCACGCGUCUGGAAAGUUACAAUAGCUUUGCUGGCGGUGUGUUGAAGUUUGUAUAAUUAUAGGCGAUACCGUGUAUCAAGAGCUGGCUGGGGAUGCUUCGACCACCCCGCCGGAUGUGUGACCUGGUCAUUGCAGGAUAGGGUUGCAGGGUCCCCCGCCCUUGCAGUCUGCCUGCCCGCGUGUCAAGUGUGGCGCUGACGCCGCUUGACGCACCCAGUAUCCCACACACACUCAAUGCGUCGCAAUGUCGAGCUACUACCGCGCACCACGCGCGCGCGGGUGGGCGUGGCUUAACUGUGCGGGCGCGCACAAGCGUCGAGGGAGCCUCAGCAGCUGAGGGCAAGGCCGGGGACGCCGCGUGCCCGAAGGCCCUGGUCACAAAUGCGCAGGUUCGCUGUUACAGGAUCACAGUCGGUCAGUCGCAACAUGCCGUGUUGCCAAUUUGGCAUUGAUUGCAACGUGGCGCUAUGGCGUCAGCUGGCAUGCUUGUGAUGACACCGACACGAGGCCAAGCAGCCCACAUCUUAGCUGGAGCUUAGCUAUUGCAACGCAUGUCAUCAGCCUGUGACACUCACGCAGUCAGGGUGUCCUGCUCACAGUGACGCAAUUGCAUGGCCAACAUUACCACUCAGAUUACCACUGCCUCCUUAUCUCCUCACGCAUGUGUACACAUUUACGUGCGCCCACACGCCCACACUGGUUACCCUGCGUCCCUGUCCAAGACCGGCCGGAUGGCCUACGAUGAACGUACAAUUUCCAGCAACUGACAGUACAGCCCAGCGCGCUUCGCUUGGACUCUGGGUCUGGUUCUGGUAGCCCCCACCGUUGCAGCCAAGUGCGUGGAAGGUGCAUGCUACUGCGCACGGCACCGCCACACGAUCCCCCAUUCCUCCCCGCCCCUGCCUACUGCCAGCGCUGUCUGCUCAUCUCUACGCUCACCAAGGGUAGAUCACUGUCGGACCCGUGGGGAGCGCUUGCCCGCCGGCGCUGCCAACUUGCGCUGAGCCGCUAUGCCGCGCAUCCUCCCCGCCGCUGCUAUCACUGCCAAUUCCACUGCCGCCGCCGCUAAAGCGCCAUGAGUCAUCCAGAGACAUGCGGCGUGCAAGCCGCCGCGGACCUCGACGCGUCGCGGCGGCGUCGCCCGCCCCGCCCCGGUACCCCUGCUCAUGCUCUUGCGCCGAGCCGCUGUGCCUCUCGCUGCUGCCCUCGCUACUGCUCUUGCUGCCGCUGCAGCCGCAGCUGUCGUCACUGGCACUGUCCGCCAUGUUUGCUGCCUCUGCCGCACCUCUCCGGCGGCCCGCCUGCCCCGUUAAGCAUCCAUGGCUAUCGCCACCGCCGGUGCUACUGCCACGUGCGUCAGUGGCUCUCGACCGCCCAUCAGCGCCGCCGCCGCCACCGCCGCUGCCGAAGACACCAGGUGCGCUGCUGGCGGCUGCGCUAGAAGGAGCCCCGAUGCCGUCACGAAGGCCCAACGUCGCAUGCGCGUCCACCGUCGCCGCUGCAGCCGGCGCCAUCACCUUGACUGCGAGCUGAGAGCGGCCCUCGUCUUUGUCCGCGUCUCCACCGCAGCGUUCGCUGCUGCUGGCGCCGCCGGCACCCAGACCACGACCCCGCUUCCAGCCGCACGGCCCCCCUGCCCCUCCGCCUCCGCCUCCGCCUUCCCACUCUGCUCCUGCAGCGCCCGCUGCUGAUGAUGCUACUGCUGCCAGUGAUGUUGCUGCUGCAGCCAGCAUUGGAGGUGCGAGUAAAGAGCCGCCGCAGCUGGCGCCCCACACGCCUGAGCCGCUGUGACGCCGCGGGCGCCACGCAGGUGCCGCCGCCGUCGACGUUGCAGCAGAGGCGGCGGCAGUCUGCACCUCCGCCGCCUCCUCCGCAUCUUCCUCGUCUUCUGAGGAUGGCUCGCUGCACGCCCAAGAGCCCCCGCCAUCGCUGUCGAAUGCUGGGGCAGCAGCCACGCCCGCGGCCGCGGCUGCUUCAUCCGGGGAAGCGAGGCGCGCGGCAAACGCGGAGCCGUGGGCCCAAGAAGCACGGCUGGCCGGGGCAGUGGCUGGCGCGUGCGCUGGCUCCUUGUAAGAUUGCAGCGACCUGCGAGUUUUGGGGUGAAUUACUAGAUUAGAGGUGGCAGCAAGUGCGGUUGGAGUUCAAACGAGCGGGCACGGUCAACCACAGGUGCCAACUGCAGGCGCCAACUGACGUGCACGCAACACCUGCAAACCCCUGCAUACUCGGCUUGGUGAGGAGUUGUCACGCCCGCGAUAGAUCACAGUAGCACACAGCAGCCCAAUGCGACGCGACGCCGCGACCCACAUGGCUUCCCGCGUCCAGGCGGCCACCUCCUCCGGGUGCUCACUUCGCACGCCGUAGCCCGCAGUGAGCAUGCCGCCCACGCGCUCCACCGCGUCGGCGUCGCCUUGCAGCGCUGCCUACAAACCCGCAAUAUGCAAAGUUUCAGAAUUCGUCCUGGCAAGUUUGCGUGCUGGAAAGGAGCGCCCACCUUCAAGUCUUCCAGAAGCCAUCUCGCCUCACACCGUGCCACGAUGCGCCCAAGCGGAGUUCCACGUCUGAAGAAUAUGUCAGGAGUUACAUCGAACGCACUUCAAUGCUGCAACAAACGACCAGGGCCCGGCCCUUCGCAGCUUGCGCAAUCCUUACUUGUCCGCUGCCGCUGUGGCCUGUUCUCGAAGUGUCUUACGACGAGCUCUUAUACGUAGCGGCUUUCCUAGCAGCCCAAGCAGCCCAUAGGCCGCCAUGCCCGUCGCUGCGACCAACACGAUUAGCGCGUGCUGCGCGAAAGGGCGCCUUGCUUGCUCCAUUCUACGCAGUUAAAACAUGCCAGGUAAUUCUUCGUGUGUUUCAGCUUUGGGGAGGGUUUGGCCUGGGCGACGGGUGGCCGAAUUGGGCACGAUCACCCUCGCUUGAGGGCUUCCCCAGCCCGUUUAAACAUCGCCCCUUUGCACAGUGGAGCAACGAACCUUCAUUUAAAAAACUGCCCCUGUCCCCCUCAAGCUUGUGUGAAAUGCAGCUUGCGCCGUCCUGGCUGUCCCGCGGGGCGCCCCGCGGUACCGGCGGCAGUCGCGCGGGCCUGCUGGCGCCCCGGCACCGCCUGCCUCUCCUGCCAGGCAGCCUGCGCCUCACCACAGCGCUAACCAGAGGCUUCAGAGAGGUAAGCGAGCGUCGGGACUUCGCCUGGAGCGCGCUUAAAAGCGGAGAACGGCUUGCGCGGUGGCGUUGCGCCUCUGUUCGAGGGACGAGUUUUGCUACCUCAUCCUCCUGCUAUCAGCCCAGGCCUUGUUUGCAAUGACCUUGCGGUAACGGGUGUUUUCCUGCUGCCUCCACAGAAUCGCGACGCAGGGCCAGGCGGGGGCGCUCAGCGCGAAGGCGGUGGCUCUGACGCAAGCACACCGGCGCCGCGGCAGCAGCAACAACAGCGGCAGAAGCAGCCACCACCGGCGCAGCAACACAGCCAGCAGCCGCCGCAGCAACAUUCUGCUGAUGUGCCCGAGCCGGCCGCAGCCGACGACAUCGUCACCGACUGCUUGCCAGCGCCGCCGUCCCAGCUUCCGCGAGAGCCGCAGCAGCCGCCGCAGCCACAGCCACAGGCGCAGCCGCAGGCGCAGCCACAGGCGCAGCAAAGGCGCAGCAAGCGGCGGGACAAGCGGGGUAAGGAGGCCAAGCUGCCGCGUGGGUCGGGCCCAGGCACCGUCCGCACCGGAGGCAGCAGCAGCGGCAGCGGCGGCAGCAACAGCGGGCCCGAAGGGCUGGAAGAAGAAGCUGCGGCGGCGGGCCAGCAGGGUUUGGAUGUGGGGGCUGGUGACGCACGAACGGCAGAGGCGGAGGGCGGAGGGCCAGAGGCGAUUGUGGCGUCGGCCGCCAUACCAGCGCCCCUGGGUGCGGUGGAGGCUGGCACCGAUGCUGAUGGCAGCAGCAGCGGCAGUAGCGGCAGCAGUAGCGGCAGUAGCGGCUUCCUCCAGGGCGCGGGUCCAGCUACUGCCGCCGCCGCCUCCGCUGCGGCUGCGGCGGCUGCGGCGCUGCGAGGGGCUCGGGAUGCGCCUGUUGCCAUUGCCGGUGUGGUGGUGCCGGCGGGUGUGCGCCAGCAGGUGCAGGAGCACGUGGAGGGGCUGCGGCAGGAGGGGCAGUGGCAGGAGGCGGAGCAGCAGCAGGGGGAGCAGCAGGAGGGGAAGCUGCAUGAGGAGGGGGAGCUGGAGCGGCUGCAGCAGGAGCAAGGGGGAGUCCAGCAAGCGCAGCAGCAACCAGAAGAGCUGCAGGCGCAGGCGGGCAGCAUGGGCGAGUCAAGGGCGGACGGGGCGGGGGAGGCAGAGCAGGUGGAGGCGGAGGAGGCGGAGGAGGCGGAGGAGGAGGCCGAGGUGGGGCGGGCGCAGUCGCAGAAGCCGCAGCCUGACAUUCCGCAGCUGAUCCAGCGGGACCAGCGGGAGCAGCGGGGCCAGCAGGAGGAAGAGGUGGAGCAGCAGGCGGCGGCAGCCGCAGGGGUGCGGCCCGCCGCCUCCCAGCCCACAGCCACAGCCACGGCGGCGGCGGCGUCAGGACUGAACGAGGUUGGCGACGUGGCCAAGCCGCUGGGUGGGCAGGGGCCACGCGGACCUGUGGCGGCACAAGCCGCCGCAGCCGCCGACGUGCAGCCGGGUGUGCAGCAGGAGCAACAGGAGGAGCAGGAACAGGAGGAGCAGGAGAGGAAGGAGCAGCAGGAGCAGGAGCAGGAGCAGGAGGAGGAGGCGAGGGAGGAGCAGGCGAGGGAGGGGCAGGCGCGGGCGCAGGCGAGGGAGGAGCAGGAGCAGGAGGAGCAGGCGAGCGAGGAGCUGGAGGCCUGGGCUGGGGCUGAGGCGACAGCGCCGCCGCACGAGCCCUAUGACCUGCUGCUCGGCAACAGCCCCGGGGCUGAGUCCGCCGCCGCCGCUGAGCCCAGUGUUGGGGUGGGAAGCCCCGGCACCACCAGUAGCAGCGGCAGUAGCAGUGGCAGCAGCAGUGGCAGUGGCAUCAGUGGCAGUAGCAGCUACAGCGGAGCUCACACCGGACUUGCUGAGGCGGUCCGACACGCCGCAGCCUCCAGCGCCUCCUCCGCCCCCGGCCCCGCUCCCGCCUCCCACUCACCCUCCGCCCAGCACGCCGACAGCCACGGCAGUGGCGAUGAUCAUGCCAGUCACGGAAGCAGCAGUGGAAUUAGCAGUGGCGGCGGUGGCGGCGGCGCCCAGGAGGCUGCCGCACGGCCGGCCUACGACCAGCUGCUGCCGAACACACCUUCCUCACCCGCCGGCAGUGGCUACCCACCCGAGCAGCAGCAAGGGCAGCAGUCACGAGGCCAGUCACACGCUCGGGUGCAGUCGGAGCAGCCGGAGCAGGCGCAGCAGCAGGAGCCGCAGGAGACGCAGGAGACGCAGGAGGAGCAGCAGGAGGAGCAGGGGCAGGCGCAAGAGCAGGCUCUGCCGCGGGCCCCUGCAGCCCAGGUGGGACCGCAGCAACAGCCGCCUCCGUCAGCGCCGCCGCAGCAGCAGGGGCAGCAGCAGGGGCAGCAGCAGCAGCAGCAGCAGCAGCAGCCUGAGGACUCGCCCGCCGCAGUGCAGCAGAGGGUGCCAGCGGAGGCCGAGGCGCCGCUGCAGCCGCAGCAGGUGCCGAUGCCGGCGCCCAGCGCUGCAGUGGCAGCGGGCGAGCAGCGGCACUGGCAGCAGGUGGAGGGGGAGGUGGAGGGGAAACGGGCUGGGAACGAGGCCCAGACCGAGGCAUCAGGGGUCCAGGCGGCGGGGGCCCAAAGGGCCCCGGACGUGCUUGCGGGUGCGGAGCAGCCUGAGGCUGUGUUGUCUCAGGUGGCAGCGCUGCCCCCUACUGGCGAGGUGGGUGAGGCGCCGGCACUGGUGGCGGUGGUGGUGCCGGCGGAGGUGCGGGAGGCGGCGCAGCAGCGGGCGGAGGCCGUGGCGGGGGCGGGAGUGGAAGUGGCGGAGCAGCCGCAGCUGCCACAACCUCAGGGGCAGGUCCCGGAGGGAACACUCCCCAGCGGUGCACAGCAGCAGCCGCUGGCGGGCGCGCCAGGCGCUGAGCAAGAGCGACAUCAGGCGCAGCAGCAGCCUCAGGCGCAACAGCAGCAGCCACAAGCGCAGGCGCAGCAGCAGGCUCAGGCGCAGCAGCAGCAGCCACAAGCGCAGCCUCAGGCGCAGCAGCCACAGGCGCAGCAGGAGGUCGGCGGGGACAGAGCCGGCCGCCAGUCGCAAGUGACCCUGCAGGGUGAGGAGCAGGAGCAGGCGCAGGCGCAGGGGCGGCUGCCGGAGCAGGGGCGGCCGCAGGAGCAGCAGCAGGGGCGGCUUCCGGCGCAGGAGCAGGCGCAGGAGCAGGGGCGGCCGCAGGAGCAGCCACACGAGCAGCCACACGAGCAGCAGGCGGCUGCGCUGCAGGGCACUGGGCGUCAAUCCCGGGCCACGCAACCUCAGGUGCCGGGUACAGGGGCAAGGGUCGAGGCGGUCAAGGAGAGUCUGGAGAAGGUGGAUGAGGGCGCGUCUCGCCGGCAGCAGCACCUGCAGCAGGAGCAGCUGCAACAGGAAAUCCCGCGGGAGCAGCUACAACAACAACAGCACCAGCACCAGCACCAGCACCAGCACCAGCAGCAGCCUCAGGCUGAGGAGCAGCAUGGGUCGGUGCUUCUGGCGCCGUUGCGCUUUGCGGGCUGGCUGGUGUCGGCUGUGCUGUGGGGGUUGGGCUGGGUGGUGGCGGGGCUGGGCAAGGCCACCUGGUGGACGGCCGCCUCCUCCGUCCGGGCCGUGCUGGCGGUGCCGCGAGCGGUGCUGGCGGCGGCGGCAGCGCUGGUGCGAGGGCUGGGCGAGGCUGCAGGUGCGUCGUGGGCUUGGUGGGAGGGCGGCGUGUGGGUUUGGCACGCGGCAGGACUGCGAUGGGCAGUCCCAGGUAUGUGCGUUACGUCACGGUGUAUCGCUUCAAAGCUAUUACAUUUAUGGGUUUCUCUUAGGCCUGGGCUAGGCUGCGGGUACAGUGUGUGGCCUUAGAGGCUUCGUUGUGCGGAUGGGCGUGCCGGGCCACGUGUGCGUCUUGGCAUGCGUGACGCUGCCUGGAGCAACACACGUGAACACCGCGCCCAAACCUCAUGCUCACGCCCGAUGCUGCACGCACAGGCCGGGCGGUCCUACCCCACCACGAGGCGGGACCCCUGGACCGGACCACCACCGCCGUACAGCCCGUCGGCGGCGGCGCGCUGCCGUCGGGCGCCGCCGCCACCGGCGGCCACGGCUCCGCCCUAGCCGCCGCCGCCGGCGCCACGCCCACCCUGCCCGCCGCCGCCGGCCCGCUGGGUAUGGGGUACGGCGGCCUGGCGGCGGCAGGGAUGCCGUACGGCGCCGCCGGCAUGGGCACGAUGCCGUACGGCAUGUACAACAACAUAACGCCGUACUCGGCGGGCGGCCUAGGAAUGUACGGGGGCCUGGGCGGCGGGGCGGCUGCCGCCGCAGCCGCCGCCACCCCAGGCGCCAUUGGUGCGGCGCCGGUGAACGUGCCAGCCUCGCCGUACGGCGCAGCCGGUACGACACUUGGCGGCGUACCGCCAGGUGGCGUGGCCGGCGGCAAUUACGGCGGCGGCGGGUACGGCGGCGCUGGCGGCGGAGUGGGCCUGGGAGGCGGCGGCGGCGGCGGACAUGCGGCGCCGCCGGUGGCGGGCGGUGCGAAUGCGGUGGAGGUGCCUGAUGCCAUGACGGCGGCGGCUCCGGACGGCAGCGGCGCUCCGGGUAGGAUGGUGGCGCAGCAUGAUGCCAGAACCGGGUGCAGAGGACAUACGGUACACACACGUACACACCCAGACCCUUCCUUUGCGCUAUUCUUACAAACACCAAAACACGCAUGCGCGGCUUGCUUGCGCAUCAACAUACACCAUGCCAAGUUUGCUAACCUUCUCCCCUUGUGCUUUUCCUGACAUGACACACGCUUCGUCUUCCCUGGCACGCACGCGCUCCCCGUGCCGCAGGUGUGAUCGCCACGGCCUACGACGCGAUGGUGCUGGGCUGGGGCCAGACACACCACCCGGGGCUGGGCGGCGCGGGCCAGAUGGUGCGGGACCAGGUGGGUGGGCAGGGAGGGGGGGUAGGGGGGCAGGUGUGUGUGUGUGUGGGGGGGGGGGGUUGGGCGGCGCGGGCCAGAUGGUGCGGGACCAGGUGGGUGGCCAGGGAGGGGGGGGGCAGGGAGGGGGGGGCAGCGGGGCGUGUGUGUGUGUGUGUGUGUGUGUGUGUGUGUGUGUGUGUGUGUGUGUGUGUGUGUGUGUGUGUGUGUGUGUGUGUGUGUGUGUGUGUGUGUGUGUGUGUGUGUGUGUGUGUGUGUGUGUGUGUGUGUGUGCGUGUGUGUGUGGGCUGGGCGGCGCGGGCCAGAUGGUGCGGGACCAGGUGAGUGGCCAGGGGGGCGUGUGCGUGUGCAGGGGACGUGUGGACAGGGGGGCGCGUGGGCAGGGGGCAGGGUGGGCAAGGUGGCGGGUGGGCAGGGACGUGUGGGCGUGGGCGAUGGAACUGCGAUGGCUAGGUGCCAGCACUAUGCAGGGUGCUGGUGGGGCAUGUGGGUUUACCGCCGGGGCCUGGGGAGGUUGCCCUCGAUCGCUCAUCACUGGUGGGGUGGCGGCUUGCUGGGGGUUGCUUACUAGGGCACAAUACCGCGGCACGCUGUUGCUGCACUACCCAGCUGCUACUUGUCAUUUAUGUUCACCCUCCGCCUAGGCAUGUUUCCAGGUGCCUGCCCGCUUCAUUCCUGGUAUGCUUAGAUCAAUAAUAACUGCUUUCCGACGCCCGACGCCUGACCUGCCUCCGCCCCCCACAGGAGAUCCUGGCUGACGGCUGGGGCGAGGAGGUGGCGGAGGCGGUGGAGGCGGUGGGCGGUGCGGCGCUGGGAGCAGGAGGCACAGCGCCCAUGGGCUCGGCCAUGGGCAUGGGCGGGUGAGCAGCCGGGCUACUCUAGUUUACUUGGGAGUUUGGGACGCACCCUUACUCGGAACGCCACGCAGGGUGACGCAAGCGGCAGGCCGAAGAUAGACCAGGCGACGAAACAGUGGCGUUUGCUCUGGUGCACAAACGCUUGUGUGGCGUGUGACGUGUGAUGUAUAAUGCUGCGUACUGCAACCGCGCACAACGCCAGGAACGGUUGCGUGAACGAUGUGCAUGCAGGCCGUACGGCGGCGGCGGCGCGGGGGGUCUGUACGGCAACUCGUACGGCAUGGUGACGCCCAUAACCACCAGCCCCAGCGCGGGUACGGUGCUGGGGGCGGCGGUGGGCGCGCUGGUGGGCGGCGCGGCCUCGGGUACGUGCCAGGUUCACGUGUGCGUGUGUGCUUCAUCAUGUGCCGGAUACCCCUGCGUGUGUGCUUCAUCGUGUGCCAGAUGCGUGCGUGUGCUUCGUCAUGUCGCGAGAUGCAUGACGAGAUGGGCUGCUGGCGUCGUCGGUGCAUGCGUGAUAGGGUACUGCGUCAGCCUCAACCAGUCAGCUGCGUGCUACGGCACCAGGGCAGCGACAGUGGCGCCUCACGCGGGCCCACCGUGCCCUUCCUGUGCGUGCGGCUGCACAGGUCCCUUCGGCGGCCCCCUGGGGGCGGCCCUGGGCGCGGCGGUGGGCGCGGCGGCGGGCGGCCAGGUCACAGGGGACGUGUCUGUGCGGCCCAUGCAGGUGCGCGUGUGUGCGGGCGUGUGUGGCGUUUGUGCGUGCACGUGUGCGUGUGGGCUUGCGCCUGUGUGACUGGGCUUCUAUGACUAAGCAUGCGUGUGUGCGUGCGUGUGCAUGUGCGUGGGCGUGGGCAUGGCGUGCGUGUGCGUGUUCACGUGCAGAUUUGGAGGCGGCAAAGGCACCUCUGUGGGGAGGGACGAGAUCGCGUGUUUCGCAUUACCGCGUUUGCAAAAGCGGGCGCCCAAAGCUUCUCCAGCAGACAUGCACGCACGUGCACCAAUCAGUCACAUGCGGUCUUGCGGCCAUGUGGCAUGCCUGCAUGCAGGUGUUCACGGGCCCAGGCGGGGAGGGCGUCGCCAUUGCGCCGCAGCCGCAGGUGUGUGGUGAAAACUGGGGCUCGGGCCGUGAGGGGGGUGGCGAGGGCGGGGUGGUUGCCCCCUCUCCCAUCACUCAUCAGGCCUUCAAUGGGCACCGCACGGUGCCGUCAUGAUCUGAUGGUCGAUUGGCCGGUGCCGUACUGCCGCUACACCACACGGCAGCACGCCGGGGCGCAAUUGAUGAUCUCCGCUGGUGUAUGUGAAGCGGUGUGAGCUCAAUAUACUUGCACAGCCCUUCUCCCGUUAGCUGAGUACCCUAAAGCCGAAUGCCGCCGCCAAGGCGCCAAGGGCGCAACUGCCACUCGUGCAUAACCACCAAUCAACUUACCCGUUCUUCACAGGUGGUGGUUGCCAACGACUCGCUCAACCUCCUGGGUGCCGUGGUCGGCGGUCUGGUCGGCAGCACGUCUGGUCUGGGCCCACGGGCCGUACUGGCGGGCGCCGCCGUCGGCGCCGCACUGGCCAUGCUGAUGGCAGUCACGGGCCGGCGGUACACGUACGUCAGCCGGUACGGCGCGCGUACGGCAGGCGACGCACGGCGGGCGGCGCGGCUGUUCGGCUGGCUGCCUGGCGGCGGGCUGCGGCUUCCUGGCGCGGGACUGCUGCCGCCGUUCCGGUUCUAGACUUCUAGUACGGUGUGCGAUGGGACAGUGUUUAGGCAGGUUGGCGGGGGCCUGUAGGGUGCAGCUGACGCCCAGAACCCAGCAGAUGGCAAACAAUUUGCAACGGCAGGGCAUUAAUGCGCGCCUGCGCGGCUGCGCGGCUGGUCGAACAGUCGAGUUAGUUGCUGGCUGGCUGGAGGUUUGCUGAUGCGCAUUCCUCACGCUCCGGGCGCCCGUCGGUAGUUGUACGGUACAUGGUCCUCCGUGCGGUGGUGUAGACAGUCAGAGAGAGAAGUGUUCGAGCGGACGCAACUGUGUUGUGAAGUUGAGCAGUGGUCUGGACUGCGGACUGACUGUCUGACUCUGGAGGAGUGGAGGGGCAGAGAAAAGGUGCCCCGACGCUUCCAGGCUCCAGGUCAGAGCGGCUCUUCUGCUGGAGUAUCGGAAGUUAGCAGUGGUCUGGAGCAGCAGGAGGUUGGAGAGUACCGUAGCGGCGGCGCAUUUGGCUGCCUUGUAGCGCAAGGAUGUUUCCGAGCAUGCGUGCAUUUGCCUGUGUGUUGGGCCCAACUCCGCACGCCGUUGAUUGACGCAGUUCGCACUCCUAUGUUUAGUGCUGGGGGAUUCAGGGCAGCCUGGUGCGGACGUGCAGCGGUGCGCGGCUAGGCGAUUGCUCGACAUUGACAGGUGUUUUAAACUGCAUCCGCACGAAGAGGCGGACAAGGGCGAGAGACAUGGGCGGAUAAUGCAAGGCGAGUUUACACGCUUACCCCCCUGCCAACAAUACCCAACAGCAACCAUUACCAUACUACCGUACUGUAUCAAGUGUACCGUUAUUUCUGUUCGCUGCCUCCUCCACCAGCCUUCUGUUUUGGCUUCAACGCCAGCUACCACCAGCAAUCCUACCACCAGCAUUUCUCAGUCUCAUGCCAAACACGGGUUUGCGGAGCCCCGCCCGCCUUGGCCUCAGUUCAUCAUCAGCACUCAUGGGUCAGCACUGCGUUCGUGUUCUGUUCGUUGCGCCUUAGCUAUGCGCACUCCCGGCCGGCUACAUACGUAUCAGGCAACGGCCGGGCGUUUGUGCUGAGAGUGCGCAGCUAGGUUGCUGCACCCAUAGCAGCCCGGCAGCCCCGUACAUCAGUGAAUAUCAACAUGACAAACAUAUCACCUCCGAAACCGGCUCUAUCUUAAUUCCACCGCAGCCGCGGCUCCGAACUGUGCCGGCAAAGGCAACACCGCUGCAGCGGCAAGCAGGUGGUCGGUAGUAUCAAUCCACUCUCGCGCACCCAAGGCCCAUGGCUCAAGCGACCCACCUGACCAGCCCGUUCGUUGGGCGUUCCCGUCGCGACAAUGCGCAGAGUCACGUGCGUCAGAAAGCAAGUAGGUACGGCCGUCCACACGUGAGAAGUUAUUGGACAGCUUGCAUAGCCACUCGAACCUCGAACCCUUCCACCCUCGCCUCCGUUCUCUCUGCAUGAUCCGAUAGGCCCCGCGCCAGCCCCGCCCAGGCGUCACACCCGGAAUCUGAAAUCGUCACGCCAUGUAGCCGCGUGCAACCACACUGCACCACUACACCUCUUAACACACGCGCUCCCCCUUUUCCCCUGACUUCCUCAUCAGUCUAGUACUACCGCUACCAGGGAGCAAGGAUGAAUCCAACAUCGUGAUACUACCUCGGCAUCAAUCCCAUCCACCGUGCAACCUUGCUCUAUGCUGCUGCAGACUCCUUGCACACCCGGCAUCUCCCUUGCAUGCUGACGCAUUGCAUCUACUACCUACACCAGCUUCCGCACCGCCCCAAUGCACACUGCGAAUGCCCAGGAGCGCGGCACCAAUGGCCGUGCAGCCUUCGCCUGCGCGCACACGUUGCCGCAGCCAAACAUGUGCGUCCCCGUUGCCGUACCCGCAUUAUCGCAUGCCAUGCCAUUUUUUUGAGGACACACAAUACCUCGCUCAAAUGGCUGAUCCACCCCCUCCUCUGAACCUUGAGCAUAUUGUACUAGUGUGAGUGCACAGCAUGAAACCCGCGCCAUUUUAGCCCCGUAUACCUACUACGUAUGCCGCCAGCCUCGCGUCUGUAUCUCAGGAUGUUGAUACGAGCGUGCGGGCGCACCGCUUUUCGCGGUGCUUGCCUGCACUGGUAAAUAUAUGGAGCCCGGUACCUCUACCUGCUACAACCGCGUGCGAAACUACGCACAUGCAAACAAAACCAUCAUAUAGGCAAAUAGCUCCAAAAGUGCCCGUGGAGUUGCUAGUCCUGCAACUGCAGCUCGUCGCAGCUGCAGCUCUCCGUAACCAGGUGCCCCACGAUUCUUAACGGCUGCGGCAAUCCGCCGCAUAAAAAAGUAUUGUGCCCGCCAUUCUCAGCCAUUGCCGCUUGGCUCUCGCAGAACCAGCGCGACUUGGCCUUACAGCACCAGCACUUUGCGCUUCUUCAGCGGCACGCCGCUCUCCUCGCUGGACACGGGAGAGCCCGACGCGGCCUUGCGCGCCAUCUCCACCUGCGAGCCGGAGGGAGGAGUGGGGAGGGGGGGGACACGGCAAACACCGGAGUCAGGACGGCGCCCACGGUACACUGCAUGACCGCACGACGAGCCCCGCAUUGCAGCCUCAAGGGACGCCUUAGCCCAAUCGCGCUGGCCCCCACGCCACCGCGCGUGACGCUGGCCCUAACAAUGCGACCUACUGGCCACCGCGCACGCGCCCACGUCCCUCGCUACGCGGCGUCACACGCGCGGCCACGCUGUCUCAUUCCAUGCGGUGCCGUGCCCUGCCAAGCUAAACCCCCACAGUCGCUAACCCGCGGCAUCCAUGCGCAGCGCAAGACCCAACGUUCACCUGGAGCAGCGUGUUCGAGUCCGCGGGCAGCUGCACGGUGGUCAGCUGGAGAGACGUGCUGGGCGUGGCGGCGGAGGCCGCGGCUGCACCCAGCAGGCUGCGCGCGGGUAGCGACAGCUCGGGCUUGCCGCUGAAGGCGUAGGCGUCCUCGUUGAAGUGCAGGAACGCCUUGUUGUUGGUGGGGUGGAACGUGGAUCCCGGGCGGGAACCGCCGCCGCCACCCGCGGCCGCGACCACCGCGGCGGCCGCCGCGUGCUGGUUGUGGUGCUGCUGCAGCGACUGCAUCAUUUGCAUGGCCUGCAGUUCGUUCAGCUGCGACGCGGUGACGUGGUGCGAGCCCAGGCUGAGGCCGGAGUGCUGCGACUGCGACUGCGAGUGGGACUGGCUGCCGGCGCCGUGCGACGCCGCGGCGGCGGCCGCGGCGGCCGCCUGCAGGUUGCCGGCGAACUGGGUCAGGCUGAUGCCGCUGGUGCCGUGGCCCAGGCCGCUGCCGCCCAGUGACAGGCCGGCGCCUGAGAGGGACAGGCCGCCCGACUGGGGGAAACCCAGCAGGCUCUGCUGCGCCGCCGAGAGCAGCCCCGCGCCGGCGCCGCCACUGGGCAGCGUCAGCUGUGACGGCAGGCCCUGCGAGCCGCCCGCCUGCCCGCCCGACUGCAUGAGCGAGAGCUGCUGGGAGGCCUGCUGCGCGGUCAUGGUAGGGGGCGGCGUGGUGGAGGGGCUGGCUAGGGAGCCCGCGCCCGCCCCGCCGGCGCCCGGCUGCCCCGAUGGCAGCGAGCCCGCGGGCCCGCCCUGCGACGAUGUCGCUGCGCCAACCAUGCGCGGGCUGGCGUUGGUGUUGUCCGCGCUGGUGGAGCCUCCGGCCAGCACCGACGGCAUGCCGGUGGGCAGCGCCAGCGACUUGGGCACCGGCUUGCCCGUCAGGGCCUCCACCUGCGACUCUAGAUCCAGUGUGCGCGCCUUCAGCGCCUCGAUGUACUUGAUGACCUCCUCCAGAAAGCACGCCGUGUUGGCGCGCUCCGCAUGCGGCACCAGCUUGCGCAGGAGCUCCAGCCUGCACAUAGUGCGAAAACCCAGCAUAACCGUGUCAAUCUGACGUCAACAAAGGCUUGCAUGUCAAAAACGCGAGCACUUGGGCUGUGUGCGCUGGCGCAGGACUCGCUGACUACGCGUAUACUUUACGAGACCUGACUGUGAAGUGUUCCGGUGCCGGCAGAGUCAAUAGGCAAUGCCUAGCGCAGUUGAAACAUGCUUGCGGACCGCUUGGAGCCCACAACGCAGCUUACCUCUCAUUGAUUCGAGUUCGGCGGCGUUGCUCAGCCGCUUGGUGCCUGCUCGCGUAGGCACUUGAGCUCCGGCUGUCAGAAGACUUCGUUUUGCCCACAUUACGCAGGCCGCCGAGCUGUAGGUCGCGGUCUCCCGACCCGUACUGCUGGGGGAAGAGCGCGGCCGGGAAUCCGCUGAGCAGAGCGAGCUGGUCAGGCAGCCCAAGCUGCGAAGACUGCUGCAUAGGAGCUUGCUGAGAAGUUUGCUGCAGCGACGAGGUCGGCAGGCUGCCCAGGCUUAAGUUAAGACUCUGACCGGACAGGGCCCCGCUUCCGAGCCCGCUCGUCUGCAGGUUAAACUGGCCCUGGCCAUUUAGCAACGCGGCUACGCGAGCUGCCUCUAACAUGUCCGGUUGUGUCCGCCCCGCUAAUCCCAGCAGACCGAGCUGCUGCUGUUGCCGUCCGGUCAGCGAUGUUGGCUGCAUUUUGGUGCUUUGGUCCUUGAAAGGUUCUAUAUGGUCAUACGGAGCAAAGUAAGACGGGUGUGGAAAAGAUACAACAGGAAACGGGCGUGUGCUGGCGUGAUGCAUGAGGCCCGGAUUGGGGCAUGCGUCACGACAGGCGCUCACAAGAGGCCCCGUUCGUUUCCAACUGCUGAUAAUAGUCCACGUCAUUUUACGUGGGAUGGUGCCCAGGAACUCCCGAAAUUCCUAGGUGAGGAAGCUGGCUUUGGAGGUGCGAGCUUUUUCCUGCAUGCCCUCGACGCUUCGGCCUGCUUGGCGGUUGGGGAUGAGUACAAUAUUGGAGCGUAAUUUGGGUGCAAUGGGCUUGGAAUGCGUUGGGGAUGACGGGGUCAGAACAUAAACGCAGCAGCAGUUGGGCGGAGCUGACGCUCCGGCCUAGGACAGGCCGGAUGGCCUAGCAAUUAAUGUCUUAGCACAUACUUGUGCUUAAUACAUGCUGCAGCACCCCGAAAGCGAAGCAUUGCACAGGGGAUUCUGCCGACCGCUGCCGUAUCCCAUCCGUACCCGCAACCUUUCGAGUGGGCAAAAUGCGCAAAUUAUGGGAUGAUCCAGAGGCGGUUAUUAGGCUGAGAUGGGAUGCGGGAAAAUUGCGCGGCCGAAGGCCGCGCUAAUUCGCGAAGUUCAGUGGAGUACACGGCGAGCGUGUGUAUCUUUUCCCUCGCCUCGCUGACCUCCCAUCCCACGCUCGCGGAAUUAGUGAGGCGCACCAUCAGGGCAGGUGCUUUAUCGCCACUGAGGCAAUGCAUAAACAUUCUUAAUUUUUAUGCAUCGUGCAGGCAGCGGAGGGGGUGGGCCCCAGUGAGGCGGUGCUGAACUUGCUGCCUUGUCCCCCACCACCAGCAGCCACGUUGCAGUGCAGCAGGACACGUUUUCGUGCUGCCUAGCGCCAUCACACUGGCCCUCUGAGCCUAUACAUAUGCACCCAAGCCGAGACGUGCAUGGUGCCCACGCCAAAUACUUGCUAGCGUGGCAUGCUGGCCCCUCAUUUCCGCUGGCCUGCCAACGGCUCCUCCCACGGGUUCUGACCCCCACGGAUCACACCAGUAACCCGUUCCUCACAGCAAAAAUCCACGCGUACGCUAUCUUAAUUUUGCAAAAUUUUCCCGGGGGCUACGCCCCCGGAACCCCACAGAAAUAUUGCUUGAAAGCAUCAGCUGCUUUGAGCGAUAAAGUAGGGGCGCGCAGCGGGGCGAUGGUAUGAAUUGUAGAGCGCUUUUCGUUGCAGCGGGGGGCGGAAGGAGUGAAGCACAGCCGGCGAAGAACGGGAGCUCGCGAAUUUGCGCUGUCGCGCUGCACGCGACCUUUUGACCCUCUAACAAUGGCCAUAGUUGUUUCUUUGAUACUUAUAUAACAUAUGGCAUCGUGCUUAGGAGUAACAGCACACUAGAAGGAAACUUGGGCACUCAUACUGUCCAAACUGGGGCCCUUGACCGGUUUGAAGAACGCUUCUACUAGAAACACACUUGAGAAUAACGUCUGCACUCAGCGAAGGAGGCUAGGAGCGCCAACAAAGUUGCGCGCUAAUUCCCGAAUUCGCGCGAAUUCCCAUAGGUGCCCAUGUGCCAUGCCGUUUCCUGACCAGGGCAAAUUGCGGGAAUUAUGGGGUGAUCCAGAGGCCGUUAUUAUGCUGAAAUGGGGUUGGGGGAACUUGCGCGGCCGAAGGCCGCGCAAAUUGCGCAGAAGUUAGGCGCGUACCCAGCAAGUACGAGUACCCACCUUGCUGCCCCUGUCGCCCCACGCCCAGCUUGGGUCAAUUAUGCAGUGGAUAGGAGCGGUGGCCCACGAUACAGCAGCCACUGCAGCUCAUACUUUGAUUUAAUAUUUACGCAGUGCGUAGACAGGGGGCAGGGGAGCGAGGGCGAGGGCAAGGGGUCCAGCGGCGUGGUGUGGCGGCGACCAGCAGCCACCUUUACCACGCUGCAGGAGAUGUAUCUGUCCGGCCCAACACUUCUCUCCUUGCCCGGUAGGGCCACACAUGAGUGUCCGAGGCAGAGGAGGUGUAGCGCCCACGCCCAGCAAGUAGAAGCAUGGCAGGCCGGGCUACCUGACCGCGUGUCUUGCCCACGGCUGCCCCCAGCAGUUUGUGACCCCGGCGGAGCACGCCGUGCCCUCCUUACCAACGUCAAAAAUCAAGUGUUUUGUGCCAGGGAUUUCCAAAAUUUUUCCCGGGGGCUACGCCCCCGGAACCCCCCAUAGUUAAUGGAAAACAACACAGCAGUAUUAACAUCAGUGUUCGUGCCGCGAGCACUUGAAAACGAUACCACAUUGGCAAUAAGUCAAUAGUGUGCUGCCGAUCCAUAGAGCGAAGCCUUGUCGGCGAAGAACGCAACUUGGCAAAUUUGCGCAGCCGCGCAUUCCACGGCUUUCAGCCCCAGAUACCGCCUACUACCAUUUCUAUAAUGACUCCUAAGUUUGCUGCGACCUUGCUUGGGGUCAUUAGAGCGCUACAAAGGGAUUUGACGGUCGUGCUGACCGAACUUGCGCCGCGGACAGGCUCUAACACUGACAACAAGUAAAGAAGCGUCCGGUCGCAUAAAUGUAAUUAUGCUGGGCGUGCAAGACAGCCUAACAAAGUUGCGCACUAAUUCCCGAAUUAGCGCAAAUUGCCCUAGUCGCGAAUUCACCCAUGCCAUGGCCCCUACCCCUCCCGUUUGCUGGGGCCGCUGGGGUUCGCCAGGCAGUCACGGGGUGCCAACGUGCCAACCUUUCGCCUUUUUGGGGGGCCCUUGCUUUGCCCCGGAGGGGUGCCCUUUGGUGUGCGAUGGGACAGCGGAAAGGCAGGUUGGUAAAGUCCCGUAGGGUGCAGCUGAUUCCCAGAACUUAACAGAUGGCACACAACUGGCAAAGGCAGGGCAGGAGUGCGCGGCUGGUCAAACGCCGGAGUUACUGUACCCAUGAGUUGCUGGCUAGCUGGAAGUUUGCUGACGCGCAUUCCUCACGCUCCGGGCGCCUGGCCAGGCGAUAGCACCACACAGACACACCGCAACGCCACACUGCAGGACUUCGCGAGGCAGAGCCGCAUCGCACCUGCAGGAAGGCGACCAGCGUCCACGGAUGAGCACUAGAGGCAACAGCAGGGAAAUGCAAUCGGAAUGCAGCAAUCCAGCAAAGCAAUGGCCGGAGGGGUGCCCUUGGGUUUUGGUGGCUUGUGCGGUUGUCCCUGGUGUUCUCCCCUGGUUCUGCCUGCUCGCUUUGCAGGUUAUGUGCCGUUGUGGUGCUGCGCCUUCCCCUUUCUUCUCCUUUGUAACCAUUUGUACCCCACUAACACACCUGCCCCCACCCGGCCGGCAGCCGCCGCCCCGUGCGGCUGCCGGUUUCAUGACGGGUGUGGGGAACCGCAAUGCGGUCCGCACCCGUCACCUGCCUGCUGUUUGCUCCCUUGCCUCUUCGUCAGCGUCUGUGUUUCCAGAGUCGGGCUUCCUGGUGUCGCACGGCAUGCAUCGCACGCGCCCAUACCAACCGCAGUGCGACCGGGAUGAGCCAUGCAGCGAUCGCGCUGUCGUUACUUCCUCGCGGUUUGCACCAGUUGGGCACUUUUUGUCAACGCAGGCAGGCAGGCACGGACAGGGGCAAUCCUGGGGGGCUUCGCCCCCCCUGGAUCGCUUCGCUCAGGGGUCUCUUAGAAAAAAACCUUGGAAGUCUUACUUCCACUGAAUCACUGAUCCCUGCUGCACAAUGCGCUUGCUGCCAGUCAGGCUGUCAGUCCACAGCGCCUUGAUGAAGCCACAGGCCAGGAGGGCCAUCGGGACAAUUCCCCGCUGUCCCGUACUGGCGCGGCUGUGUGUCUAUGUGGUGCUAUCGCCUGGCCGGGCGCCCGGAGCGUGAGGAAUGCGCAUCAGCAAACUUCCAGCCAGCCAGCAACUUGUCGGUACAGCAACUCCGGCGUUCGACCAGCCAUGCACUUCUGCUCUGCCACUGCAAACUGUCUGCCGUCUGCUUGGGGUAUGGGCGUCAGCUGCACCUUACGGGACCUCGCCAACCUGCGCCACCUGGGCCUAAACCCUGUCCCAUCACAAAAAAAUGAGAAGACAAAAUGAGCAGAGAAUGGACUUGGAGCCAGGUGCGCUACGCCAUUCUUAAAGCACUGUGCGCUCCCGGCAGUGCUUCACAUUUAGGACAUUUGCGCAAGGAUUUGGGCGCAGCGAAUGGAAAGACCGCAAAUGGCAUGAUUACGCUACUUUUUCCUAGCCGACCGCUGUUCUGCCUGCUGCGCUCAAUAUGACAACCAGUAUGCUCUCCCGUUCCAUGCAGUGCUCUGCUUCGGCGCCUUCCGGCGCCAUUCCCCGGCGAUCCAUCGCGCGUUCGCGGCCCGCGGCUCGCGUUGUGCGGACUAGCUCUGGUGCUGGAAACAGCGGCAUGCCUCCGCCCCGCGCUCGUGGCCACGGGGGCGCCGCCGACGAGGAGCCCGAGAACGAAGACCCCACGGUUAAGGCCGCCAAGAUUCAAGCGAAAGCAGCUCUGGUCCUGGGCGGCGCGAUGUUUGCUGGCUUCUUCGUGCUGGGCAGCGCGAUUUUUGCUGGCUCCUUCGUGCUUGCCGACGCCCUCCGCGGCGUCCCCGCUGGCUUUCGGUCAAGCUGAGCGGCCUACUCAAGAGCCUGCGCACGAGCCUACUCGAGAACGGUCCGAUGGUUGCUGCUGGCCUGUUCGCCCUGCUUGCCUUCCAAAAGGCCCCGCGCAGCUGUGAGUGGCUGGGCGGGAGAAAGCUUGAGGGUCCACGCGCAGCCCUGCAGGGCCUUUGGCACUUCCGCUCUCUGCUCCCGCUCCGCCUAACUCCCAGCCCCCCUUCCUGUCACUCCUUUGCCCUGCCUGUCACAGGGCGCCGUGAACCCUGGUGUGAGGGCUUCGGGUCCGCGGCAUCCAGCAAGGUGCGGGUGCGGGGCGCGGGUUCCAGGGCUCCGGGCUGACGGCCAUGGGUUGGGUGCUGCCCCUCGUGCUGCCAGAUGGAUGGGUGCAGGGACUGCAGAGGGCGGCGGUUCUGCGGGGGCAGAGUACCUUGAGAAUGAGGGAGGUGGCUGGGUAGCUAAGGCCGUCGGGAUGACGGCUGGAGGCACCAGGGGGUGGGCAGCUGGGUAGCGCAGGCCCGCACACCUCUCGCCCGGCACUGCCUUCUAGACCGGAGGCCAUGCUUUGUCCCCGCGUCGCACGCAUCGGCGUCUGCCGCUGACCCCUCCACCUCCCCUUUCGCCCCCCCCCAGGCGCUCCCAACCAGCGCAACCUGCUCCUGGCCCGGCAGCGGCGCCUCCGCCACGGCCAGCCGCCAAGCCACACGCUCGGCCACAACCGCUCCGGCCAGGCGUCGCCCGGGCCGCCCCCGCCCGUCAUGCGGGUGGUCCUCACGGAGACGGGCGACAUGCGCAGCGGGGCUUGACUGUACUGCGGCCGCGGUGGGCGGAGCAGCGACCCAUGAGUGCCGAUGACAUGGCGGCGUCGGGGAGCUUGAGGAGGAAGCGCAGGCGACGCGGGUGGCAAGCUAGGGGUGGGGUGUGUGGGGACUCGGGAGGCGGGCUAGGUAGGACGUAGGAUGCUGGCGGUGGGAGGUAGGCAAUAGGAGGUGUACGAUGUGUGCGGCCCAGUGUGGCAGGUGCGGCGUGUAUGUUACGUGUCGCGUCGUGUUGCCGUUGGUGAGCCGCUGGGCGCGUGUCGGGCGUGGGACAGGAGGACGGAAGACGGGGUGGAUGCUGCCGGGUGGCGAGGCAGAUCGAACGAGGGUGGAGGGGUGUUGCUGCGCUGGCUCAGAAGUGCAGUGUGCUUCGGGCAGGGAGCGGGCGGCCGAGAGCCUGCUUGGCGGCGUUGCUGUAGUACCUUGUUGGCGAGAUGCACCUUCUUGAUCUUGACCCGUCUCUUGGCCCGUCUCUUUGACUAAAUGACUUGACUAGCUGACUUGACUUGACCAGGGCCAAGAUUGGGAGGGCGCAGCGGGUGAAGUCGGCGUGAGCUGUGUGUGGGUUACCGCAUGCAUCUACGUGUAUGGUGGGUUCUGGGCGGUCAUGCUCUGUGGCGCGCAUCACCCAUGCCAGCCCCGCAUAGGCCGGCGAUCGUGUCAUCUAGUUGUGCCACACACCACCGCGUCCCAGCCAUCCCUUCUGUAGCCCCAGAAGCCAAACAACAAGGGGUGUCAGCUUUGUACAGCUGGAAAAUGGGCUGAGCCCUAGGAAUGUAUGGGCCCCAAUGAAGUCAUAGGCGGGGUGACUUCUGCAACCAAACCAGCUUUAGGGCCCAUGCCGACGCUGCACGAGCUCCGGCUCAGGACCACACAUGAUCUGUACUUGGCCACAGGAUUGCCAGCACAUCAGCAAUAUAAGAUGACACGCACGCGCGACAUGAGAGGUCCACAACUCUAGCUCAAUGUCCGUCGGCCCUCCACGCCCACAAAUACGGCCAGACGCUCCGCCAGCAGCUGCAGCUGCGUUUCGCUCAACCGCGGCAGCGGCCCAGACAGCCGCGCCGCCGGCGCCCCGCGAACCGGCUUCACCACACCCGGCCGCCCACUGCUGUUUCCACCAGCACCACCGCCUCCGCCUCCGCUGCCUGCGCCGGCCUCGAGGGGGCCAGCGCCCGUAGCUAUGGCCCCCGUCGCGUGCCCUGCCCGCUGUGCUCCCCGCUCCCCACCCCUCCCCUGUCUCUCCGCCUCCUUCUCCUUCUCCCCAGCCACCGCCCCCUCCACCUCCUGCUGCUCUCCGGCCAGGCCGCUUUUCUCCGGCCAGGCUACCGGGUCGUACCAGUCCCGCGGCAGCCCCACCAGGUUGCGCUCGCUGUGCUGGAAGGGGCCUUUGAGCAGGUCCGGGUUCAGGUGCAGCAGCCAACGCCUGCGUGGCGCAGAGUGUGUGUGUAGAAAGGCGGGAUCGUGAGGUGUGGGUUGGAUGCACAGACCAGUACCGGCCGGUGGUCGGGGGAAGGGGUGAUGGCCUGUCAGUCCUAGACCCGAAACCGAACCGCGAUGCCCCUGCUCACACACGCACACGCACACCCCUGGCACCCACCCACCCACCCACCCACCCACCUACCUGAACAGCGGCCCUGCUGGCACGCCCAGCGCGGCGCACAGGCGUGCGAACCAUGUCACGCCCACCGCCACGUGCGCCCGCUCCUCAGUCGCGAUCAGCGCCACCACUGCCGCGGAACGACUGUCGCCGUAGCCCCUCAGCCGCUGCGUUGAUCAUGUUGUGGGUCGCACCGUCACAUUGGGCACUGGUUCUCUGAAGCGGGUCGCAAUUGCGGUCGGCAUUAAGGCCUACCGGUACUUGAACUAGCCUCCAACCACCGGCACCCACCUGCACCAGCCGCCCGCCCGCAUCCAGCCCCCGGGCCUCCUGGGACAUCGGCACCACCGCCAGCCUGCGGUACGGCCCCCCGUGGGGAGCAGCAGCGGUAGGCGGAGGCUUUUGACGCAUGGACACCGGCCGGUCCGUAUGGGCAUGGUCCAGAUUGGCACAAUUCAGUUGGGCAUGUGCCGUAAGCGCCUGAUAAAGGCCAUGCCCAAGCAACACUCCACUCCUCUCUCGCUGCUACCGUCCGCAAUUACCCCCCCCCCCCCCCCCAAGCCCCUGCCCGCCGGCGUGCUCUACCUUGCCGCCACGUCCACCGCGGACAGCUUGCAGCCCUGCCACAGCAGGUCGUGUGCGGGCAUGUCGCCGUAGCCGCAGCCCAGCUCGGACAGGCGCUGCAGGCACCAGCGCAGGUGCCGGGCCUCGUCGUCAGCAACCCUGGCGGCGGAAUGGCGGGGGCGGGGAGGGGUGGGGUUGGUGUGGGGUUCCAGGCAUGACUUUUAAGACGGCGGUGAUUUCGGACCGGCACAGCGUUGCACCGGGGCCGGGGGAGCGGAUCCGAGCAGGUCGCGCACUGCUAUCGGUUGACCCGGGAAGUGCAAGACGAGCACGCCAGCGACAACCCCCCGUGUCCAUAUGGACUGGCGCGGCAAAAUGGCGGGAGCUCGCGGGAGCGGGGAUGCCCCCGUAACCCCCCCACGUGCUUACAAACGCAUUCUCCCCUUACUGACAUCAUGCCACCGUGCGAUAUCAGCCAGUAAAGCCACACGUUUUCCAACCACCUGUCCACUCCCUUAGCUACUGUCCGUACAACCCACCUCGCGAAGUCCUCAUAGAACUGGUCUGGCAGCUCCAGUGCUGAGAACCGCACCACCGUGUCUGCAAGGAGAAGCAGUGGGAGGUCGACGGUCAUGCAGAAAGAAGUGAUAAAUGACAGGUUUGGGAGAUACAAAGUUGGUACCGUACAAAGAAGUGUAUCAGAAGUGUGCGCAGCUAAUGAAGUCAGGCGAUGUAUACACGAUGAUCGACUCCACAUCACUUGCGUUACUCAUCGCUCCAUAAGCCAGCACCGGUCAGCACUCACCCCAUGCCAGGUCAAUCGCGUUCAGCUCGAUGUGCGCCUGCAGUGGCGGUGGCGGCGCCGGUACAGUUAAGAGACAAGCAAGCAACAGCAGGUAACCUGCAGCCUCCGGUACUUGCACGGUCCCGCCCGUACCACUUCGCCACACACAUCCUCGUCAUUUGACGGUGGGUCAGCAAUCAGCCAAGCGCGUUGCCGCAUGUAACUGAAAUGCGUAGAUGUGAAUGCGAACGCGAGUGCAGGCGGCAGCGGAGGUUGUUGUUGUCGCUUGCCGCAUGUAAUGCACCGCACGGACUUCCAUGUAAUGCACCGCACGGACUUCCAUGUAAUGCACCGCACGGACUUCCAUGUAAUGCACCGCACGGACUUCCAUGUAAUGCACCGCACGGACUUCCAUGCUGCUGCACCCACCAGGUUGUGCAACAUGUAGCCGUUGAGCCCCAGCGGCGAGUUCUCGUGGCCAGGGAUCUACAGGAAGGAGAUAGCGCGCGUUGUCAAUCCUACACAACAUGAUUCAGGCGUGCCAAUGAUCAGAUGUGUCCUGUCCGCACACUGCUGCAUACCGAUGCCGAAGGCGUCAAAGCCGCCUGCCCCGCUGGCACUUCAUGCUUUGUGUAUCGUGCGCGAGUGGCUACGGCACAAUGCCCAUUGACAGUUAUCCGCCCGCCCCGCUCACCUCCUUGGGCCGCACGAGCUGCGGCCGUUCCGGCCGCGCGGGGUGGUCCGGCAGCUGCUGCUCCAGUCGCGCCUUCACCUCCUGCCGCUGCCGCUGCCGCUGGCUCUGACUCUUAAGGCGGCCCUGCCAGGCCUCCUGAUCCUCAGCUUGAAGCCAUUCUUCUUGCUCGUGUAGCUGAUGUUGUGACUCCUGCUGCUGCUGCUGCUGCUGCAAUGUGGGCUGUAGCAGCCCCAGCAUCCCGGGCUGCUCCUGUGGCGCGCGCAGCGGCAGCUCUCCGGACAAGUAGGCGGACCAGGCCGCGUGCGUCAGGUCGGCCUUGGCCUGGGGGCACGCCGUGCGCAGCACCAUCAAACCCGCCUGCACCAGACUGGCGGGCACGGCUGUAGCAGCAGCGCCAGCAGCGCCAGCACCAGUGCUAGCAGCUGUUGCUGUUCUUGUUGCUGCUGCUGCUGCUGCUGCUGCUGCUGCUGCUGCUGCUGCUGAUGAUGAUGAUGAUGAUGAUGAUGAUGAUGAUGAUGACGUGGCGGAUGUGGCCGCAGUAGCAGCGUCAGGCUGGGCUCCACGGGCAGGCGGUGGCAGUAGCACCGAGGCCAGGCUUGGGGCCUCGCCUGCGCCCACCACCACAGGGCCACCAGCAGUGCUGCCUCCGGGAAUUGAGCCGUUACCGCCGCCGGCGUUGGCGGUGCUACUGCUGGCGCUGCUGCCAAUGUUACGGCUGCUGCUGUGGCCGGGCUCGGCCUGAGGCAGUGGCGACCAGCGCAGGCGGCGGUCAACCCCACGGGCGCGCCAAGCCCGCAAUCCGGGCCACUCGUGCCGAGCCGCCUGCAUGCCGAAGGGACCAACCCAUUAAAGAGCCCGCAGCCGUGAACUUAUGUAGGCAUGAUGCCACACAACGAUUGUUAGUCUAUUCAAAAGCAUUCCUAUCCUGGCAUGGAGCCCUCUACCAAUGCCCUGACAGUCCUGCACCCAGCGGCCUGCGACCUGCUGCCGGUUCGAACACACGCGCACCUGUGCUAUGCAGGUAGCCGCAUCAAAAGCCGCACUGCCAUGACUGUUGCUAGAUUCGCCGAGCAGCUGAGGUACCAACGAUCCUUCCGUAGCAACACCUGACGCGGGGCCGGAGGUCAGCGGCGGCGCGCUGCGGGUGCCGCGCUGAGCAUCGCAGGCGGACAAGUCCGGUACGCUCUGCAGUACGGGCCCCGGCGCUGCCUGCGCCGACAAAGCCACUAGUGCGCCAGCCCGGAGACGGCACCCAUUCACUGAUUCAGUUGGCCCGUGUUGGAGCGGGCGGGUGUCUCCGUUUCUGGAGAGCGCGCGGGCAGAGCGCCGCAGCUGUAGGUGGGGCGCGGUGGGGCAACCGUGUGGCAACGAGCCUGCCAUACGGCCCCCAGCCGCCCGGGCGGCCGCCCCCGAGUGAUUUGAGCGCUCCAAGCAAGACUGCAUAUGAUUGAUGCGGCGGGGCUAUUACAGCUAUGUUUCGUGACUAGAGCGGAAUGCGAUUGUGGCGCACACAAUGACUUCAGUCCGUUAUUGUAGAGGAAGUUGUUGGUUUAUGGUAUAUCAUGCCAUACUGCUUGUAAGGAGAGCAGUUGGUGCUUCACGCCGCUGGGGCUCAUGCUGCACUCGCAUGGCCGAGAAAAACUCGGUCCCCUUUCAUACAGCUUUGCGCGCUUCCCAAUUGUGUACUGCUGGGGUCUUCGGAUAUAUCUUUACGGGUUCUGUCUGUGUUGCCAAACUGUUCUACGACUAGGUCGUUUGACGCCCAGGCUGCCAGCCUGGGGCCAGACUGUGCCCCAACUUAACUCUAUAGUUACCACAUUCCCAUUGGGAACUAGAGACACAGCAAAGGAGCCAUGAGCGAUCCAAAGGGGCAACUCCCGCGCACGACGCGCGUGAAGAACAAGCAGCCUGCAGACAAGCAGAUCACUGCGGAGCAGCUUCUUCGCGAGGCUAAGGAAAUCCAGCUUGAGGAUGACUACAAGGCACCCAAGCAGAUUAUCACGGACCCGGAGGAGCUCGCCGAGUACCGUUUGUCUAAGCGCAAGCAGUUUGAGGAUCUUGUGCGCCGUGUGGGACGCUUCAAUGGCGGUGUCUGGGUCAAGGUAAGAAAGCCGCCGAUGCGGUCCCGAAAUGUGGUCUUCCCGGGCCGAAGAGGGCCUGCGAUAGCUUGCUAGUCCAUGCUACGGCAUGAGAGGUGGCUCCAGCAUAUGGCAUGCAACGAAAAUGCGAGUCAAAGACCAGUUUGCGAGACAUCCAGCCGCGCACAGCACCCCCACUGCCACACCAGCGCGUGGUGGGUUGACCAGGUCCCGCGUUUCCCUCGCUGCGCCCCGCCGGUGCAUGGCACGACGGCAAAGGAGGGCACACCUGCAACCUUGCUGUGCGCUUGCAUCCCGGCCGGACAGCUGAGCCAUGCGCCGUUCCUUAGCACGGUCUCCUCACAACCUACCCCGCCGCUGUUUCUGCAACGCUGUGGGACCCUGCUGCCUGACCCUCCCCAGCACCCCCAACAACAACCCCUCCACCCGCCCCACCUUUGCCUACACCUCCCACUCACCUGACACACAGUACGCGACAUGGGAGGAGCAGCAGAAGGACUUCCGGCGGGCGCGCUCGGUGUGGGAGCGAUGCCUGGCCAUCGAGUACCGCAACGUCAGCAUGUGGCUAAAGGUGCGUGAGGGCGUGUGUGCGCCUGUGUUAGAGCGACAGCACAAGGGAAGGAAACAAAUAUGCACGCGUGUGCGUUUGUGGAUUAGAAAAGCACGCGGGGAAAGGGUGCGUGUAUGUGUGUGCAGAACGGUAUGGGGUUGUGCCGGCGGGGCUCGGGGCUGGAGCAGGGGACUGCAAGGUACGAAGGCACCAGGCGGGCGAGGCAUGGGACGGAGUGGGGUGAUGGGGCAAGCUGUCGGCAACUCCGGGUGGAGCGAGGAACUGACGGCAGCAGCAGAUGGGGCUGCAGCGGCCGUUGCUGCGGCCGUUGCCGCUGGUGUGGAAGGACUGUGUGUCUGGCAUGGUAGCGGUUGGACUGAGGCCUGCGGUCGGAGGUGUGGCGAGCGAUGUGGAAUGGGAGGACGGAAUGGGUGCUGGGGAAUCGGGGCGCAGUACGCAGCGUGCGGCCAACCUGCCGCCGUGCCGGACGGAGGGUGCGAGGCCGGGCGGAGGACGGGUGGUGGUGGUGGUGCUUCGUGGUGGCCGCGGCCAGCACGGCGCCCGUACUCGUUUCAACACAAAACGCCUCUCCUCCUCACCACACCCCCACCACCACUAACAACGCCAUCACCCACACCCACAUCCUCGCCACCACUACCUCAUACAGUACGCGGAGAUGGAGAUGCGGCACCGCUUCGUGAACCAUGCGCGCAACGUGUGGGACCGCGCGGUGAGCCUGCUGCCGCGCAUUGAUCAGCUGUGGUACAAGUACAUCCACAUGGAGGAGAUGCUGGGCAACGUGGCGGGCGCGCGGCAGGUGAGGGCGUGUUGUUUCCGGGUUGGGGGUGGGGGUAAGUCAGUCCAUUCCCAACUGAACCAAGACCCACCGGGGGGUGGGUGGGGCGGGGGUUGGCUUACAGCAUUUCCAAGCAUAGGAAACCAAAGACACGCGGGGCCACGGGGCUAGCCGUCCUCGAUAGAUGAUGUGCGUAACGCACACGGUUUUGAUGCUGACGUCCCAAAGAGGUGCCGGGGGCUGCCGAUGGGCUUGUGUAUACGGUGGUCAAGCAGGGCUGGGGCAUGGAGGGUUGCGGGCGCGCUGUGUGUGUGAACAGAGUGUGUACGCCAGUGGUCAUGCCGGUGUGGUGCCCAUUCGCGGCGGGUGGGUGGGUGGUUUACGGUUGGCGAGCGGGGUUGGGGUGCCCCUUCUGGCCGCUGGCCUGGCCGCCACAUCCCAUGAGACACGCGUUUGCCUGGCGCCCGGCCGCCUGCGGCCCCGCAGGUGUUUGAGCGCUGGAUGCGCUUCGAGCCCGACCACACCGGCUGGAUGGCGUACAUCAAGGUGCGGGAGGUUUGGGGUUUGGGGUGGUUUGGUGUAGAUACGAGCCCGCAAGUACACCGUGCCCAAUGCAAAAGAGCGAGGGGGACAGCGUGGUCUGUGGGGUUAGCCGUUCGCAUGAAGGACGGAUCUAAUCACAACGGGGAGGGAAGCGUUGAAGCGUAUGAAGGAAAGCGGUGGCUGGAACCGCCCCCUGUAAGCUCGAGUGAGGAGACCCUGCUCAAAUUCGUGGUUGAGGGUGGGGUGUUCGUGCGAGGGGUACGCCGUUUUGCCAAGGGAAACCCGCGCUAACCCAGGGGGGUAGGACACGCAUGCGCCUGUGGGAUUGGACGGCCGACAUGGUCGGCAUGUGCGUGUGGCUGUCUUCGGCCCCUCCUUCGCCCGAACAUCCCUUCUACCCCUCUUCCCUCCACACACCACACCCACACGCGUCCACUAUCCUCUCUGAACACAGUUCACCUGCCUCUCCCCUUGUGCUUGUGCGCCGCAGUUUGAGCUGCGCUACAACGAGGUGGACCGGGCGCGCGCCAUCUUCGAGCGCUACAUCCAGAUCCUGCCCACUGUCAAGGUGGGGUGUGGGGGCGGGGUGGCGUUGGGUUGGGGGGAAAGGGAUGGUGGGAUGGGCCGGUGGAUGCACGGGCGGCUGGGCGGGCGGGUGAAUGGGUGGGUGGGCGAUUGGAUGGAUGGGUUGCUGGGGUGACCUGCGACAAGGGGAGUGUGGAGGGUUGGGGCUGGAGCCGGUGUUGGGGCGUGGUAGGUGGCGGGGGCGUGGCCAGGUGGCGUUGGCGCCAGUGCCAUGGACGGGAUGCUGGUGGGGCUACGGCCGCAGGGACCCUACAUGUACAACCGGUACCUCCCACCACACCUUGCCCCGCCGGCGGCUGAACUCCACACGGCCGCUCUGCGGUGCCGCUGCCCUGCCACUCCCCCGUCCUGGCGUUCCGGUUCGGCCAACCACAGUGCCUGUUGCAUCACCGCAAUCGUCCUAACUUGCCACGCAUUGAACCCCUCCGCGCCCUGGCUACAACUCCGCUACAAUGUGCCUGGCUGCAAUUUCUCUUCUUCUUAAGUAAUCAUGAAUGUAACCCUCGCGUUCCCCAGGCCUGGGUGCGCUACGCCAAGUUCGAGAUGCAGAAUGGCGAGGUGGGCCUGGCGCGCCGCUGCUACGAGCGAGCAGUGGACGAGCUGGGAGAGGACGCACAGACGGUGAGGCUGCGGGGGCCGCGGGGGCUGGCGGGCGGGGCGCCAGGCAUCGGGUGAGAUGCAGCAGGCGGCUCGCGGGUGUGGUGAGCACGCCGCAAGACGUCGCACGCCUUGCAUUGGCGGGGGGGGGGGGGCGUGCGCAUUCCGUUUCGCUCCCACAUGCCACUCCCUCCAGCCCCCGACUCCAGUCAAAAGCCCUGCACCUAUGGCCCCAACCGCCCCUGGUUUCUUUGGGAUUUGGUCAAACUAUCCUCUGUCCCCACACACGCGCAGGAGGAGUUUUUCAUCAAGUUCGCUGAGUUCGAGGAGAAGGCGCGUGAGGUGGAGCGGGCCCGCGCCAUCUACCGCUACGCCCUGGACCACAUCCCCAAGGUGUGUUUGUGUGUGUGGGGGGGGGGACUGCGGGCCGUGCGGCCGUAGCAAGUGGCCAUCGCAGUGGCCAAUAGCAUUUGCCCCCCGCAGCAGCGCGUGUGUGUGCAGGGGUGCCGGAGGGGCCGGGGCUGGCGGGCGGGUGUGGUGGGCGGGCGCUUCCUCGAUUACCUUCCUCUACUUGCGGCGACUUGCGGCGCGCCGCACUCAGCAGCGGCGCGGGUGCUGCCUGUCGCGCACGCACAGCCCACACCAUGCCAGGAUGUGCUCUCGCUCUCAUGUGCACACACACACACACACACACACAUGUUUGCCGCAGGCCUCCGCGCCCAGCCUGUACCAGCGCUUCGUGGCGUUUGAGAAGCAGCACGGCGACCGCGAGGGCAUUGAGCAGGUGGUGGUCAGCAAGCGCAGGUGAGGGGGCGGGUGAGGGGGCGGGUGAGGGUGCUGGUGAGGGGGCGGGUGGGGGCGGGUGAGGGGGCGGGUGGGGGCGGGUGAGGGGGCUGGUGGGGCGGGUGAGGGGGUGGGAGCCAUGAGGCGCGGCUGGCGCAGGGUGCCAAGAGGGGUUCACUGAGGAGCGGCUGGGGGGGGGGCGCGAGGGACAGGGCCAAUGGCGGAGCCGGGGACGUGGGCAUGGGUGUGAAGGCCCAGGCGGUUGGGAAGGGCAGGUGGUUUUGAAGUCGGGUCGAUCGAACACUCGUUUCCCUUACCGUGUUAGCACGCUCUCGCCCACACUUUCGGUUGUUCCACACGUACCGUACACCCGCACAGGUUCCAGUACGAGGAGGACAUCGCCAAGUCGCCGUACAACUACGACACCUGGUUUGACUACAUCAAGCUGGAGGAGGGCACCGGGGACAUCGAGCGCACGCGCGAGGUGGGCGGGUGCGGGUUUGUUGAAGGGGUCAAGCCACACGCAAAGUUGAGGUUAGAGGUGUGUGUGUAUGUGCGUGUGCUCGUUUGUGCCUUUGUGCGUUUGUGCGUGUGUGCGUGUGGACAUCGACGACUACCAAAAUGGAGCUUUGCGUGUGCAGCGCCGACCCCUCCCUCCCACCCGCCCUCCCAGCCACCCUUCCAACCACCCUACCAACCACCCGACCAACCACCCCGUCGCCACCCACCGCCCUCCGCCCUCCCCACCAGGUGUACGAGCGCGCGGUGGCGCAGCUUCCGCCCAGCUCCGCGGAGAAGCGCUUCUGGCGGCGCUACAUCUACCUAUGGGUCAAGUACGCGCUGUUCGAGGAGCUGGACUGCGCCGACCCCGACCGCACCCGCGACGUGUACCGCGCCGUGCUGGACCUCAUCCCGCACCGCCAGUUCACAUUCGCCAAGGUGCGGCGAGAGGCGCGUGCGUGCAUGCGUGCGUGCGUGCGUGCGUGUCCCGUGUGGUAGGGAGCAGCCGCGGGGGCCGGGCACGAUGGUGUCCAGGCUGGAGCGUGUGUUGGAGGCUGAUGCAGACGCGCUGUGGAGCGGCCACGCGGGCCUGCCUUCUCCGUGCCUUGGUCCAUGCGCACCCACGCACGCAUCUACAAAGCCGCACCCGCAGCCCGUAAAACCACGUGUGUUUACGCGGCUGUUUUCUUCCCCCCUCCACCUUUCCACCCCCAUCCAGAUCUGGAUCAUGGCUGCCAAGUUUGAGAUCCGGCAGCGCAACGUGGAGGGCUGCCGCAAGCUGCUGGGCCGCGCGCUGGGGCUGUGCCCCAAGGUGCGUGGUGCGGCCUGGUGACAGGGGCAGCAGCGAGAAAGGCGGGCAGGGACACGGGCAUAAGGGAGACGGCAUGCGCCUCAGAGAGCCGCGACACGUGCUCUGCUUGGCACGUGGGCGAUGGUGGGCCCGGGGUGCGGCAUCCAGUGACGCGCGGCCGUGCCAGCCCUCCUCAUGGCUGAGUGGCUGGCCAACACCGAACUCUGAACAGCAACUCCAAGCACUCCCAAAAUGAGCUGUUUUCAUGGUCCUUGUUGCCCCCCAUUAUCUGACUGUCCUUAUCGUCCUCACAUCCCAACCAACCAACCGCAGGAGAAGCUGUUCAAGGCCUACAUCGAGUUGGAGCUGACCAUGGGCAACGUGGACAGGUGCGCGCGAGGCAGGAGCGAGGCAGGAGCGAGGCAGGAGCGGCCGGCCGGCAGGGUUGCAUGGCAGCGGGCGGAAGCAAGGCGGGGCUGGCUUGCGGCGAGCGGGGUCAUGGACCCGGACCCGGACCAGGGCCCGUUCAAGGCACGCACUAACUGUAGCAAUUUUCCAAUCCGGCCCGACGGCAAGCGGGUUGAACCCCGGUUUACCCUGCGCACCGUACACCCGCACACCCGCCUCCCCCCCCACAGCUUGCACCCCCCCCCUUACACACACACACUCUUGCACCACCCACGCACGCACACGC
This 57836-nucleotide long non-coding RNA is filed under the name Chlamydomonas reinhardtii. RNAcentral's name for it is "long non-coding RNA (CREI_LNC001144)". The record is from RNAcentral. Lineage: Eukaryota; Viridiplantae; Chlorophyta; Chlorophyceae; Chlamydomonadales; Chlamydomonadaceae.